RNAcentral lists this long non-coding RNA (67938 nucleotides) under Hordeum vulgare. RNAcentral describes it as "long non-coding RNA (HVUL_LNC003369)". The record is from RNAcentral. Lineage: Eukaryota; Viridiplantae; Streptophyta; Magnoliopsida; Poales; Poaceae.
UCCUCGUGUCUCUCAUGUUCCUCACUUUGAGGAUCUGGUAGGUGUAGGUUUGAAUUGAGCAUCAUGAGGAAAUUCUUUCCUUAGUUUUACCUCGACCCCUUUAACUAUACGGUGUUCCUAUUAUUCAAGAAUGAAGAAGAUGAAAUAGAAAGAGUAAAUCUUUAAGCUUCAAAGUCUUCAGACUAUUUUCUUUGGGACACACCGAAUUCCUCAUCUUCAAUGUCUUCAUGAGGAAUAUCAAUUUCUUCACAAUUUCUUCGUGAUCAAAGUCUUCAAGGAAUGACCAAAGUCUUCACCCAAAGACAUACAUUUUUAGGGUCGAUAUUCAUCGAAUAACUCAAAAUCCUCAACGACUUAUAGAGCAUGUGUACACUCAGAAACAUGCCAGUCUCUUAACCUAUAAGUCUUCAAUCCACCAAAAUCAUUAAGUGGCACUUGAUGCACUUACAAUCUCCCCCUUUUUGGUGGUUGAUGACAAACAGGUUAAGUUUUCAACGGGGAUUAAAAUACAAGGUGAAAUAGAGAGUUUGAGGAAUUUGAUUGCAAGAUAUAGAGAAACUCCCCCUGAAGACAUGCAUAUUUGAGGAAUUUGCUUUGGACUGCAAAUGCACAUUGAUGAUUUAUAUCAUGGAGAUCUCCCCCUAUAUCUUGUAACCCAUGCAUGCAUUUAACAUAUAGUAUGAGGAAUUCGAUAUGCUUUAUGAAAAAUGGUGUCUGACGAAUUCAACAAGCAUGCAAUUUAAACAACUUGAGGAAUAAACAUGCGAGGAAGAACGGUUAAAAGCGUCACACCACCACCGAGCUUAAGUUACAAGUCAUUAUAGCAAAAACUUCACAAGAACGAGAGUUUGUAACUUAAUAAAGUUUAUAAUAGCCCAUAAGUAUACCCGCUUGAAGACUAACUCAGAUUUCUCCCCCUUUGUCAUCAAGUGACGAAAGGUAUAAAAACUGAGGACUAACGUCCUUGAAGAAUUUCACUUCCGAGUCGGAGGAGAUGCGUUAAGGUCAGCCAUUGUAGCAGUGUCAUCAACGUAUUCAUCUUCAUUGGUUGUGCGGGUUGAAGUAAAUGAGCUGGCCACUAGUUGAGGAACAGGGAUCUUCUUGAACUUCUUCUUCAGAGGCCAGGACUAGUCAAAGCCUUGCUGGAACUCCAACUAUGCAAGUUCCUCAGGAGUAUUGUGGUGAGACGGAAUAGCCCAUGUGCGAUCAAAAAUCUCAUGCAGGUAGUGGUGAUUUGUCUUCACUGCAUUCCUCGUUGCAUUGAGGUCUUUCACAAUUUCUCCAUCAUGGCGCUUGACCCAUUUUUGGUUGCGAUCAAACUUCUUAUGAAUACUUAGCAGUAGCUCACGGUCAAUCAUUACGCGCGGUGCAGUUUGGGCUUGGUGGUUCUUGAGAUACACUGCCAUCAUUGGUACAAUAUGACACUAGUUUGCGAAACUGACCAUCAAGGGGCCUCAUGCCUUCAUCAAUCACUGAUUUGCCUUUGCCUUCAAUUUCAUCAAAGGAGCUCUUGACAACUUCAAUUGGAGCCAGAUAAGUUUGAUGAUUCAGAAUGUCAGCUUUGUAUGGAAUACCUGACCUCUUUCUGAUGAAUUUCAUGAUCCAUGGAGCGUAAGGCUUCAAAUCUAGUGGUGAGAGUGGGACAAUGUCCUCAGGAAUAAGUCAUGAAGAUUUAUGGGGAUUCCAUGUUUUACGUUAAAGAGCAAAUUCUUCAUGAUACCCACUAUUUCUUCAUCAUUUGAAUCACGACCCUUGAUUGGACAGGAAGUCUUGGCCAGAAUGUGAUAGACUAUCCUUGGCACAUAGAUUAAUUCCUUAGCGAGGAAUUUGGUUAUUGGUGGCUGACCAGAUGCCAGUGGCUUCAUGAGGACUUGCAUAUAGUUAGCUCCUAGUUCAGGUUCAUCAUAUACGCAUCUGGCACUAUCUGAGAGUAUUGGCACGGGAAGAGCCUGAAGCAAUUCAGUUGCUCGGGCUUUGAAGUGUGUGUCCUGUGUCAUCCAGUCCAUAACCCAGGCAUUGACAUCUUGAGGAUCUCCUAACACGUGCAGUGUAGCAUAGAACUGAAGAAUUAUUUCUUUAUUCCAGUCACAGAUUUCAGUGCAAAAUUGCAUUAGGCCAGAAUCAUGACGAACUCUUAAGACUGGUUCAUAUGAGGGAAUUUCCUCCAUAUCAAGAUGAGGAAUAUGCAUGUGAGGAAAGACCCUUUCUCUGUCAAAGAGCACAACACUGUAGUAGUUCAUCUGACUUUGAGUCCAAAAUUUGUUGCGUUUGUACUCAGGAGAUUCAUAUGAACUGGGUCCAUGAAGUAAUGAUGUCCAUCAAAGAAUUGAAGCCGGUCAAACUUUGGCCUUUUUACUUUGUAGGGCUUGAUUCGCUUCGGCUGAAGAUUUGGCUUGAAGCGGCUUCCAAGUCUUCGUGGAUUGCCUACUUGAGGAAUUUGAGCCACCACAACUGUUGUCUUAGGUUUUUUAAUGUGUGGUUCAUCAAGAAAUUCUUCAUUUUGUGCCAGAGAAGAAUCUUCACGCACGUGUUCUUCAGUCUAAGGAAUGUGCUGGGUGAGUGUAUCAGUUGCACGCAUAACAGUUCCUUCAACUUUGUCAUUGUCAUCGGCUCAUGCAGCUAAUUCCAUAGAAGGUGCAGACUUGGCUGGAGUGCUCUUUUCUUUAGAGCCAGUCAAAACUUCAGUGGCAACAGGGGAUUCAGGGAUUUGAGAAAUUGGGGUGACCAAUGGUGAAUUUGGAUGAGUGUGUUCCCAAAAUUCAUCAUGGACCAUUGGUUUGUUGCAGCCAAUGUCCACAUCGUCCUCCUUUUCUUUAGCAGUCAUCUCAGGGUUCUGAAGAGGAGGAGUUGAGGCUUGAGAAAUGUCAUCCGCUUGAAUUUCCUCAUCUAUGGGUGUGGAUGCAGCAGACCAAUUUUCAUCCUUUCCUCAUCCCUUUCUUGAAUGACUUGUUCUUCACAAAAUGGUACAAUCAUGUAUGACGGUGCAACACUGAGAGGAGUUGCAUCAAUUGGAGCAGAUGAAUAAGCAGGCAGGGUCUUCACACAUUUUGCCUCUGAAGACUUUGAAGGUGUUGACGCCUUUCUCUGCUUAGCUUCUUUCUCACCUGCUUUGGUUUUCUUCACUUCUGAUGCAGAAGGAAGUGGGACUUUCUUCACCUUUGAAGACUUUGGUGAAGGUGCAUUUUCUUCAGGCAUUGCAUAGGCAGCUGCAUACCUCGCAGAUUCUUCAGUAGUUUCAUCAGCUGUAGUUUCAUCAGCAACGGUUGCAUCAACAACGGAUAUAUCAGCAGCAGGUUGAUUAGCUGCAGGUUCUUCAUCUUCAUCAGCCAAGUCUACAAUGUAUGUGGCCUAAGGAAUUGAUGGUUGCGCUGGGACUGCAACCCCGUUGUUGUACUCAUCAAUGGCUUUAAUACCAGCCUUGACAAACCUCGCUUUGACACCUUUACUUUCUGCAUGAAGGCUUGAGUAUUUGUCAGUGAGGGUUUUCAGCUCAGCUUGAUUGGACACAAGUUGCUCAGGCAUCAAGGUUAGAAGAUUUUGUUGCAAAAACUUCUCCUUUUGAGCCUUUUCUCUCUGAGCUUGUUUGGCUUGCUGAGCCUUCCACUUUUCUUUUUUAAUGAAUGAAGUCACCAUGUGACUAGGUCCAGGUGGAAGAUGUAAGUAAUCAAUGGGUGUGUUGGAAUCUUUGUACCACAGAGCGAUGAAGUCUAGUAUCACCUUUGGAUCCAGUGUAAGAGGAAUGGUGGAACCUUUAGCUUGUGCAACCCUUUCUUGCUUGUUUCCGAUGAUGCUUGAAGGGUUUCCUCAUCAUAUUCAUCACUUCCCUCUGAUGCAGAGGGAACCUUGAGGACAACUCUGUUAGGACUAGGCCUAAUUCUUUGCCCAGCAGUCGUCUUUGUCUUCAGAAUGCCACCUGAGGAUUUAGGGGCAGUACUUGAGGUUGAUGGUUUUGAGGGAAUUAAGGUCCCUGUUGGUUGCUGGCUGGACUGGGGCUACACAGAAGGUGACGACUUUGCUGCAGUUGAGGACUUUGCAGUCGUUGAGGACUUUGCAGCCAUAGUUUAUUCUGCCUAAGGAAUUUCCUGAUUGGACAUUGUUGUUGAGGACUUUGGUUUGACACCAGAUUUCUUCACCAGUGCUUCCUUGGGAGGUUGUUCUAUGGCACAAGCCUCAACAAUAGAGGAGGAGGCAACAACAGCUACAACAACACAAUCCUCACUGAGUUUGUUUGCUGCUUCAUUGUCGAUUUUCCUCAGUUUUGCCAAAUACUUGGCCUUCUCAUCAAGAUAGUCUUCAAUUGUGAUCAUGCUUGAGGGAUGGGUAGUUUGUUGCUGUUUCACACGGGGUCUGAAGCAGGAAGGCUUGAUGGCAAACUUUCGGGCAUACUUAGGGGUGACAUACAUGUAUCUUUUCCACUCCUGAGCCCAUCUCCUUUCAAUCUUUUGAAGCCUGAUCUUGCGCUUCGCAGAUGUUUCUUUCUCAUAGAUGUUUUCAUCACGUGUGCAAUAGUGAGCAUAGAUGUCCUCGGGAAUCUCAAAGGCAGUAUUAUUUUCUGGCUUCUUGCCACCCUUCUGUUGCUUGUCAUCCUCCAAUUUCUUCAGUUGAGGACUUUGCUGAGGAAUUUGAACUCUGGAGGAAUCUGAUGACAUAGGUAUAUGAUCUUCAAGGAACGCUGCAAAUGAGUUAAGUUCAUGAGAACCUGGUGAUUCAUCAGCUGACAUUUUGUACCUAUCAACAGAGUAUAGGUGCGAAGAAUUUGGAGAGGUCAUAUGCGUUCUCAUAUUUGAGGAAUUUGAAAAAUGACUCAUGGUGAGGAAUUUGAGCAAUUAAGUGUUGAAGAAUUCCGCUAAGCAUUGUGAUCUUGGAUUCCAGAGUUGUGUAGAUUCGUAACUUUACACAAUUGAGGAAUCUCGUGAAGAAUUUAGUAACUUAGGGAAAUUCAUCAGGUGUUCUAGACAUGGAUUGUGAUCAUCUGAAGGAUUUUCUAAGGAAUAACAUAUUUCACAAAUCUAAGGAAAAUAAAUGGAUCAACAGUGGCAGUAAAAUUAUAUUUUAAUUAGCUUGUAUGAAGAACACGACGAACUAAGGAAGUGAAAACUGAAGCUUGCCAGUUCAGAUCUCCAGUGCCCUAACUCGGCGACUGAAGACAGCUACGGCCACAGCGGAGGGAGAUGAACCACAGUCGGCGUGUGUCCGGCGAUAGCGAAGUCGAGGCAUCGAAUAUCUUCCUCAUCGGCGAACAAGAUUUCCAGUGGCAGCACUAGGGUAGAGCUCGAGUUGGGGAAGAUGAAAGUAAGAGGAAGAGAUUUCACUAGAGGGGGUAAGGGGCUAUUUAUAGCUCAGGUGAAAACGGUCUGAAGCGAAACUUUCGGGCCAAACUGCCCCUGCACUUUCCUCUCUGCAUUGCACGUGUUAUCCACGUACGAAGCGGUGGAGAUAGUGGAGAUCGUGGUUAUCCUAUCGUGAGUAGUGGGUGCAGUUAGAGCAGUAACGCCAACAAAAUUUAAGUUUGAUAUUUUUGAGGAUUUUGUAGCAAAGUCUUCAGCUAACAAGGACUCAGUGAGGACUUUGAACAGGUGUCAAUUAGAACGCAUAUGAAGAAUUGAGAAUGGUUUGUGUUGAGCUUAGCAUAGAGGGAAGUCGGAUCCGAUCACAUUCACUUAGAUGAAAUCCAACUUGAAAACUGAGCAAUAAGUGAAUGUUGUUGAGGAGAAUGAAAGCUCGUAUAUAGUCAAUGAAGACAAUGAGAAAAUUUGGAAGACAUAAAUUUUUUGAAGACUUUGAAAAUUUUGAAGACUUUGAAUAUUUUAAAGAAAUUGAAAAUUUUGAAGAAAUUCAAUCUUUGAAGAAUUUCGAAUUUUGUUGGUGGCGUGACCCACCGUAUAAGAAUGAUGAUUUCAGGUGCCGCGUACAAUUGUCGUAGGGCCCCGAGAAUCAAAUUGUUCAUUAAUUUUUGCACACUUAGAGUGUCAUUCUUCAUUGAUUGAAGAAAAACAUUACUUCGUGUGUUGCGCAUCCAAGUCAUCAAUUUUGCAUUAGUAUUAGGAUGUGUGCAUUUCUACACAACAUUCGAAGAUUCUAGGAUAUUUAGCUCACACUGCAACUUGCGAAAUCUUUUCUCAUCCAAGGGCUUAGUGAAGAUGUGUGCUAGCUGGCCAUCAGUCUUCACAUGGUCGAUGAUGAUGUUACCCUUGAGUACAUGAUCACGAAGAAAAUGAUGACGAACCUGGAUGUGCUUGGUCUUCGAGUGUUGUACUGGGUUGUAGGUGAUCUUGAUUGCACUCUCAUUGUCGCAGUAGAGGGGCACAUUCUUCAUGUUGAUGCCGUAGUCCUUGAGGGUUUUCUUCAUCCACAAUAGUUGAGAACAGCAAGAUCCAGUGGCAAUGUAUUCAGCUUCAGUAGUGGAGAGUGAUACGCAAUUCUGUUUCUUUGAGGACCAACAGACUAAGGAUUGUUCGAGAAAAUGACAUGUGCGUGACGUUGACUUGUGAUCCACAUGUUCACCAACAUUGAAAGAAUCGAUAUGGUUGACUAGAGGGGGGGUGAAUAGGCAACGACCACUUUUUAAUUUAUCUUAGCAAGUUAGGGUUAGCAACAUAAAGGUUCUCUAAAAUGACAACAAGGAGGUGAACCUAUAUGAUGCUACCAACUAUAAGUACUAAGGCAAGCAAGAGAUAGUCAAUAACAAAAGCAUACACAAUGUAAAGGUUAGAGAUAACCGCAAGUGGAACCAAUGAAGAAGAGGAUGUGUGACCGAAAUUCCUUCCCUUUGACAGGGAGUACGUCUCCGUUGGAGCAUUGUGGAGGCACAAUGCUCCCCAAUAAGCCACUAGGGCCACCGUAUUCUCCUCACGCCCUCACACAAUGCAAGGUACCGUGAUUCCACUAUAGGUGCCCUUUAAAGGCGGCAACCGAACCUUUACAAACAAGGUUGGGGCAAACUCCACACAAAGCUUGGAGGCUCCCAACAAGACCACGGAGCUUCACCACAAUGGAAUGUGGCUCCGAGGUGACCUCAACUGUCUAGGGUGCUCAAACACCCAAGAGUAACAAGAUCCACAAGGGAUUAGUGGGGGGAAUCAAUUUUCUCUUGGUGGAAGUGUAGAUCUAGGCCUUCUCAACCAAUCCCUAGGAAAUCAACAAGUUUGAUUGGCUAGGGAGAGUGAUCGGGCACUUUUGAGCUUAGGGAGCAACAAUGGAGCUUGGGAGGGUCAAAGGUAGGGUUCUAGAGCAAGAAGAACCCUUUAUAUAGUGCGGGGGGGGGGGAAUCCAACCGUUUUCCCACUCACAGCCCGAGCCCAGCGGUACUACCGCUGAGCCCAUGGUAGUGCAGAGGCACUACCAGGCCAACCACCGCCAAGAAAGUCUUUGCAAAAAGUCCGACGAAGUACAGCUGCAAGGAAGGCGGUACUAAGUUCCUCGAGCGGUACUACCGCUGACCAGGGGCGGUACUACCGCCAUCACAGCGGUACUACCGCUAGGCCCAGCGGUACUACCGCUAGGAGACCUUUUUGCAAGAAGAGAUAAACCAAAGACAAGAACAGCUCCAAAGAUGUAGGGAAAGGAGAUGGAGACAAAUUGUGUGCGUGCAAAAUUGAUUCCAUCCAAGCCUUUCUAGUACGGAUCCCCUCUUAAUAGUACGACGUACCUACGACUCACAAACAAAGAGAACCGUAGAGGACACCGUGCUUCUGUUCCAUGGAGGGUGCCGAAUCGUCUUGUGUUGUUGAUAUAUAUUAUCUAAAAGCUUAAUGCACAUGAUUAGUCCUUUAAGGUACUGUCAUCAAUCACCAAAAUUACUUAGGCACAAAUAUGCCCUAACAAUCUUCCCCUUUUUGGUGGAUUGAUGACAAUACCGGAUUUGCACAGAAGAAAGCAUGUGAAUCAUAAAGAUAAACAAUAGAGAUAAUUGAAGAGCAUAUGACUCAAAGCAUAUGAUAGAAAAUAAGUCUCACAAUAAAACCAUGUCUCACAUCACACGUAGCAAGGACAACAAAACUGAUCAAACCAAGUUCAAAGCAAACACGAUAAAGAUAAGAUAAGCAAAGCUAAAGCAAAGUGCAAAUCCAGCUCCUAGACUCUCUCCCCCUUUGGCACAAGACACCAAAAAGGGGCACACCUAACGACACAGGUGGUCACUCCGCAUACUCAUCAUCCCUAGACGCGUCCGUGGCAUCCGGAUCCUGCUCGUCUUGCUCCUCCUCAAAGUCCUCCUUAGAAGCCUCCUCCUCAGCAUCAGACCCAGUCCUCUGAUAACCUUGAGCCCUCAUCCAAUCAGACUCUGGAGUGAUGUCGUCCUCUGAGCCGCUUGAGAUAGCCACAUCAAGGGUCCUUAAGACACACUUGUGCCUCUGACGGUUCUCCUUCUGGGCCACAUGAGACUGAUAUUGUCCCUUGGCCUGCAUACAGAAGAGAGUCUUCAUAGAAGAAGAGCGAGUCUGUGAAGCAGGUCCUCCUCCAGCACCAGUCUCUGUGUCCGUGUCCAUGUGCUGAGAAGAAGUUGAUGGGUUGGCCUAUUUGUCCUUGAUACGGAGCUUGAUAGGAUCAUGCACAAAAUAGUCAGCCUGAAUAGGGAAGGGAUCUACCAGAUAGACCUCGUGCCACCUCUUUUGAAUAUAGGCAAACAGGUAAGGCCCGUAGAUGGGAACCUUACGGUUCAUGAUGCAGUUCCAGAGCUCAUUGAACAUCACAUGGACAAUGUCGAGAGGCGCAGUCUCCUUAGUCCUUGGCUCCUCACACAGCAGAAGCAUCUCAGCUAGAUGACCAUGCACCUCGUCCUUGUUGCCAAUAUGAGGGAAUAGAGAGUUGCGGAAGACCCGAUGCAUGAUAUCUAGAUGCUUGGGGACCACACCUUUCUUCACAAAAUGUUGUUGCAGCCUGUCCUUGGGGGUGGCAGUAGACGAAGAAGGAGCAUGAGGACGCAUCCCAAGAACCUUUUCGUCCCCCUGAAAGUCGACUUUGAGAAACUGCAUGAACUCUGUCCAGGAACCUGUCAUCUUCUGAGUACCGGUCAUCCAAGUCAUGGUGCGCACGUCAUCACGUGCAAAGUGAACAGUGACAUAGAACUGGGCCACAACAUCUGGAUCAAAGUCUUGUGUGAAGGUGAUGAUCUCUGUAAGGCCAAGCUUUUCAAUCAAUGAGAGAGCCUCACCAAAGUAGUCCGGAUUCCGCCGAAGGUGAACAAGGUCAAUCCACUGCACUGGGACAAAUAUCUUCUUGAAGGGCUUGAUGAUGUCACGAUAGAUCAUGCAGUGAUCCCGUGACCAAACAUAAUCGAUGUUCUUGAUCUGGGCCUUGUAUUCAAGAUAGUGAUUGCGGGUGCAGAAUACCAGAAAAUCCCUAUGGGGCAUAGUGUGAACGUUGAUCCCUUUGUUCUUGGAACCAGUCUUCUUGAAGGACCUCUUCUUGGGAUUCAGACUGGAAGUGGCGGAACCCUCUGGAGCCUCUGAAGUGCGAUAUUGUUGGGUUGGGUGGUACGUGUAGGAUUCGAGCGACGAGCACCACCUGUGACACACAAGAUACACACGCAAAAAGGAGAGACAAAAGGAGUCAUGGCAAUGGUCAAUAAGAAUUAUAAGAAGAAACAUAUUGCCAAGAGAAAUCAAAGAACACAAAACAAAAAAAUAAUCCUCCUGGCGGUAGUACCGCUACCCCUAGCGGUAGUACCGCUGGGGUCCUGGAGGUAGUACCGCUACCGCUGGCGGUAGUACCACUGGGGGUCCUGGCGGUACUACCGCUAGGCUGGCGGUACUACCGCUAGGGUUUGACUUUCAGAUCUGAAUAUAUAAAGACCCUCAAAAACUACUAGAUUCGUUUCAAGAGAUCCACGGCUAAUAAAUAAAAACAUUAUACGAAUCACCAUAGCCCUAACACAAGUGGAACUCGAGAUCAUCUAGAUGGAGACAAGCCUAGUCAAAGGGAUCCAAGUUUGAGAUCAAAUCUAUGAGAAGAAUGAUAAGAGCUACUAGAUCUACAACAUGGAGAACGAGGGCAUGUCAAAAUAAUUGCAAUGAAGAACAUAAAACCUAAACUCCCCUAAGAUAUCUCCUCCGUUCCAUCCAAAAACUAAGCACAAAUCAUAUCGAUGGAUUGAAAUCACCAAGCUCCUAACCCUAGAACAAAAGUCAACAACCAAGAGAAGAAGGGGAGGAGCUUUACCAAAAUCCAUGGCACUUGACGGAGGAAGGAGGAGGGGAGAAAACCCUCCAACUCAAGGGAGAGAAGGGGCUCCGCAGAGGGAGAUCUAAACGGGGGGAGUUCGGAGUAGAGGAAGGGAGAGCCACGAGGAAGAAGAAACAAGGCAAAAACGGGACCCCCCUCCUUUUUAUAGCCCAAUGGGUACGGGCCCAGCGGUAGUACCGCUGGGGUCCUAGUGGUAGUACCGCUGUCCUAGCGGUAGUACCGCUCCCCCUGGCGGUAGUACCGCCGGGGUCCUAGCGGUAGUACCGCUCCCCCUGGUGGUAGUACCGCUCCCCCUUGAGACAGCCCUAAAAAGCCCUAGUCAAGUCGUGAUAGGCUCGGGUCCUGGCGGUAGUACCGCUACCCUUGGCGGUAGUAUCGCUGGGGUCCUGGCGGUAGUACCGCUACCCCUGGCGGUAGUACCGCCCAAAAUGACACAACGAGACAUAGGAUUUUGUGGAAAUGACGUGGGAAACGACUAGUUAGUGUAAUAAAAAGAUAACACCAGCAAGGUAUACUGACUAGUCAUUUUGUAUCCUUUCUUCCAUAUGAGAGAAAGGUGGGGGCGGUGGCCGAGGCCACCUAUGUUUGAGGCAAAGGUAUGAUACCGCGAAGAAUUAUCCUUGGGUUCAUGACCAACGCUCGUCUUUGAAGCACAAGUGCCAUUUAAUAAUGGCCAAAGUGAAAGACUUGAUCGAUUUAUGCACAAUGGGUGGAGGGAAAGUUCAUUGAGAGAACAACACUCCCCCUAUGUCCAUGCCUACACCUAGAACAAGAUGUAAUGCAUAGUGAGGUGCAAAGUGCCUAGUUUCAAUCCACAUUACUUGAAUCAAUGAUAUUUAGCUCAUGCCUUAACUCCCGGAACCUUGCUUCAUCUAGGGGCUUAGUGAAAAUAUCUGCAAGUUGCUCUUCAGUGUUGAUGAAGUGAACCUCAAUAUCAACUUCCUUGAUAUGUUCACGAAUGAAGUGAUGGCGAAUAUCAAUAUGCUUGGUCUUUCUAUGUUGCACCGGAUUGAGGGAAAUCUUGAUAGCACUUUGAUUGUCACAUAGAAGAGGCACUUUGUCACAAGUGACACCGUAAUCCUUUAAAGUUUGCCUCAUCCAUAGCAACUGUGCACAACAACUUGCAGCUGCCACAUACUCAGCUUCGGUGGAAGAUAGUGAGACACAAUUCUGCUUCUUUGAAGACCAACUUACAAGUGAGCGACCAAGGAAUUGGCAUCCUCCAGAAGUUGACUUCCUCUCCACACAAUCUCCUGCCCAAUCUGAGUCAGAAUAGCCCACUAGGUUGAAGUUUUCUCCUUUGGGAUAACAUAGACCAAAGUUUGGGGUAUGAGCCAAAUAUCGAAAGAUUCGCUUAACAGCGAUAAAAUGACUUUCUUUUGGUGCAGAUUGAAACCGUGCACAAAUCCCUACACUCAACAUAAUAUCCGGUCUAGAUGCACAAAGGUAAAGGAGGGAUCCAAUCAUGGAGCGAUAUACCUUUUGAUCCACUCCUUUACCGUUGGGAUCACUGUCAAGCUUGCAUCUUGUUGGCAUGGGAAACUUGACCAGCUUGACAUCCUCUAGGUCGAACCUCUUGAGCAUGUCUUGAGUGUACUUGGCUUGUUUGGUGAAAGUCCCUUCUAAGCCUUGUUUAAUCUCGAAUCCGAGGAAGAACUUCAACUCACCCAUCAUAGACAUCUCAAAUUUCUCGGUCAUUAGUGCAGCAAAUUCUUCAUUGAAAGAAUCGUUAGGAGAACCAAAAAUGAUAUCAUCAACAUAUAGUUGGCAUAUGAACAAAUCCCCUUUAACCCUCUUAGUAAAAAGAGUGGGAUAUAUCUUCCCAAUUUCAAACCCACGAUCUUGUAACAACUCAGUAAGGUACUCAUACCACGCACGUGGGGCUUGUUUAAGGCCAUAGAGUGCCUUAUUAAGUUUGUACACAUGAUUGGGGAGCUUGGGAUAUUCGAAUCCCGGGGGUUGUUUGACAUAGACCAAGUCAUUUAAAGGACCAUUAAGAAAAGAACUUUUCACAUCCAUUUGUUGUAAUUUGAAAUUAUGAUGAGAAGCAAAUGCAAUCAGCAUGCGAAUAGAUUCUAGACGAGCAACAUGGGCAAAGGUUUCACCGUAGUCGAUACCCUCGACUUGGGAGUAGCCUUGGGCCACCAAUCUUGCCUUGUUUCAAAUCACAAUCCCAUUGGCAUCUUGCUUGUUUUUGAAAAUCCAUUUGGUCCCGAUGACAUUAUGUUCCUCCUUUGGUCUUGGCACUAAAUCCCAGACUUGAUUACGCUCGAAGUUGUUGAGUUCUUCAUGCAUGGCCAUAAGCCAAUCCUCAUCAUCGAGCGCUUCAUGUACCUAUUGAGGUUCACAAUACAAAACAAACGCGUGAUGCUCACAAUAAUUCCAAAUUUGUUGACAAGUGGAUACUCCCCUUUUCAAACUGCCAAGCACAUUCUUCAUAAGAUGAGACUUGACUCUCAGCUUGUUCACAAUCUUGGCUGCGCGACGCUCCAAGAGUUCUGCAUUGGAUAACCGGGGAGCAUCGACUUGAUUAUUUUGCUUGCCCUUGCGUUUUGAGCCUCCCUUGGCACCAGUAGCCCUCAUAGGCGUUGCAAAAGGGAAUUGAGAGACAACAUCCUGAUCAACUUGAUUUCUGACUUGAGCAGGUUCACUGGUUUGUCCUUGUUCUUGUGGUUGCUCUUGCUCUUGAUCUUGUGCUUCUAUUUGAUCUGGAUCUUGUAAUUGCACUUGAUCUUGAUCUUGAGCAGGUUCGGAACCUUGGGUAAGCGCUUGUACAUCAUGGGACACAUCACCAUAUUUGAGCAAUUGAUCUUGUCCUUGAGCUUGUUCAACUGGUUGAGGGCCUUCUCUUUGUUCAUCGGAAGCGUGUGGGGCUUGUGAGGAUGAUGGCUCCACUUGAGUAGAGCAUUUUCCUUCUCCUUCGGCCACAAGGGGUUCCUCAAUGGGGAGUAUUUGACCAAUCCCCAUUCUUCUUAUGGCUUGGGGAGGAAUUUCAUCACCUACAUCACAAAGACCACUUUGCUCCACUUGGGAGCCAUUAUUUUCAUCAAACUCCAUGUUACACGUCUCCUCAAUGAGCCCGGUGGACUUGUUGAGGACACGGUAAGCAUGAGAGUUUGUAGCAUAACCAACAAAGAUGCCCUCUUGUGCUCUAGAAUCAAAUUUAGGUAAACGUGCACCUUUCUUGAGAAUGAAACACUUACAACCGAAUACCCGGAAGUACUUGAGAUUGGGUUUGUUUCCGGUGAGAAUCUCAUAUGGGGUCUUGUUCAAGCCUUUGCGGAUAUAGAGCCGAUUGGACGCAUGACAUGCUGUGUUGAUGGCUUCGGACCAAAAGUUAUAUGGAGAUUUGAAUUCUGCCAUCAUUGUUCUUGCAACAUCCAUCAAUGUCCGGUUCUUCCUUUCCGCCACACCAUUUUGUUGAGGGGUAUAUGGUGCUGAAUAUUGAUGUUUUAUUCCCUCAUCACCUAGAAACUCAUCCAAGGUGUAGUUCUUGAACUCGGUGCCGUUGUCACUUCUAAUCAUCAAAAUCUUUGCUUCAUGUUGACGUUGAGCUUCAUUAGCAAAGUUGAUGACAGUUUGUUGAGUCUCACUCUUCCUCUUGAAGAAAUAUACCCAGGUGUAUCUUGAGUAGUCAUCAACAAUCACCAAGCAGUACUUUCUGCCCCAAGACUAUCAAAUGAUGGAGGACCGAAGAGAUCCAUACAAAGGAGCUCCAACGGCCUCUUAGUGUAAAUGAGAGUCGUUGGACGUUGAGUAGUUUCAUGAAUCUUCCCUUCAAUGCACGCACUGCAAGCACGAUCUCUGGAAAAACUCACAUUUGUUAGUCCACGAAUAUGGUCCCCUUUGAGGAGACUUUGCAAAGAUCUCAUAUUGACAUGAGCUAGUCGGCGAUGCCAAAGCCAGCCCACAUCAACUUUAGCUAUCAGACAAGUCGCAGUCUUAGUGGGUCGCUUUGAAAAGUUCACCACAUAGACACCAUUUUAGACAUAUCCAACAUAGGCUACUUUAAGAGUCUUGCUCCACAAAAGGACCACAUUAUCAAGAUUAAAGAAUGUGUAAAAACCCAUAAUUGCAAGUUGACGAACCGAAAGUAAAUUGUAAGCAAGGGACUCAACAAGCAUGACUUUAUCAAUAGAUAACUCUUGAGAGAUGACCACCUUACCAAAUCCCAAUACCUUUGACGAUGAUGCAUUGGUGAAUUGGACAUGGGAGGGCAUAGAUGGAGAAGGAUGCACAUCCACCACUAAGUCCUUGCUUCCUGUCAUAUGAUUUGUUGCUCCAUUAUCGAGCAAUCAUGACACCCCACCGGAAGCAAACUCCUGCAAUAGAUCAAGGCUUGGUUUUAGGUACCCAUUUUUGAAUGGGUCCUUUAAUGUUAGAGACAAGGGUCUUAGGAACCCAAGUAGCCCAUUCAAUGGACUCAUAGUAAGAACCAACAAAUCUGGCAUAAACAUGCCCAUCACCAACACGACAUAAAACAUAGGAAGGAUUGAGUUUGCCGGCUGUGUUGGUAGGAAUGGUUUUGCCCUUCCUGACGCUACCAUUAUCCACCUUGUUCCUGUUCACCUCCUGAGUCCCUUCGCCCUCUUUGACAAAGAUGCCCAUGAGGGUAGGGAAUCGUUUGUUCCUGUUCUUCCUUUUUCUUUUUGACUUGGAUGUAAGUCCAAGUCCCUCCUUUCCUACCACACCCUUUUGAUUGCUCAAGAGGUUGUUCAGGUUCUUCUCGCCUUGGAUGCAUGACACAAGGCCCUUCUCAAGUUUCUCCUUCAACUUGGCAUUUUCCUCCACAAGAUGUACAUGCUCACAACAAGGGUUAGUUGUACAAGCAUUAUCAAUUAAAAUGAAAGGAGGACACGUAGAGAUUUCCUUGGUAAGCUUUGCUUGGAGUUGAUCAUGAGACUCUUCCAGGGAGAAAUGAGCACCUUUCAAGACCUUGUGCGCCUUGUCAAGUGUGUCAAACUCCACUUUGAGUCUGUCAUGGCCAACCCCAAGAGCAUCCUUCUCAGACUUAAGCAUACGAGUAAGAACAGUAGCAUGAUCUAGUUUCUUUUGCACUUUAGCGCAGUCAUCAUUGUAUGACUCCUCAAGAGCCAAAUGAAGAGUGCGCUCCUUUUCAAGUGCAAUAUAUAGUUCAGCAAUCUCAUCGGCAUAGUCACGACUAUGUCCUUGAAGCUCGGAGAUGGUCUCCUCAUGAGACUCGAUGAGGUCAUUAGCCUCACCCAGUUGUUCCAAGAGAGCAACAAAGUGCUUCUUGGGUUCUCCCUUGAUCGUGCACAGAAAUUUGUCAAUAUCAUGCUCAUUAAGUUCCACAACAUCAUCAUCAUCAACACAAUUCAACAAUGAAGGAGAAGUAGUGAUGUUGGUCUUAAUGAUGGGGGUUACCUGAUCGAUACCUUUGGCCAUGAGGCACUUGGCAAUGUGGUUAUCGUUGGGGGCGUUGAAGAGAGACACAUUCUUGGGAGAAGGGGUGGCAAUGGCGACAGUUGCAGUUGCCACCAUAUCGUCAUCGUCAUCAUCAUCGGAGGGGUACUCUUCAAGUGCCACCAUACCCUUUGGGUGGGGUUUCUUCACAAAGUUGUUCUUGUUUGGGAAAGACUUGGUUUUGUCUUUGAGAAUGAGCUUGCCCCCAUUGUCUUCCCUCUUCUCAUAGGGACAUUUUGAGUUGUUCUUGGUGAAGUUGGUUCUUGAGUUCCUCUUGUUGCCCCAGAAUUGCCUUGACGCAAGAGCCAUGUGCUCAUGAUAAGCAUACUUAGUGUCUUCAGGGCAGCUCUCCAGUUCCUCAUCCUCUUCUUAUUCUUCAGAAGCAUCUGUCGCCUUUAAAGCAAGGUUGGGUGAAGCUGUCUUUGAACAAAAUCGAGCAAGUGCAUUGUCAGCUGUCUCGUUCAUGAUUGACAUUGCAAUNNNNNNNNNNNNNNNNNNNNNNNNNNNNNNNNNNNNNNNNNNNNNNNNNNNNNNNNNNNNNNNNNNNNNNNNNNNNNNNNNNNNNNNNNNNNNNNNNNNNAUGUAAUUAUAUAUGAUAGGCUCAUAUCCAGUACAGUUUCCUUUAGGUAGUAGCGAAUAAAAAUGGAUAAAUACAAGGACAACUGAUAUGAGAAAGAGAAAAUUAGCAUAUCGGCUUUCCAUUGUGAAGAAGCACAAUAAGCGCUCCAAAAAGAGGCUUGACUGCAAACAAAAAAAAUCAACAUACAUCAUUGUUGGUUGAGCUGAAAUUAGUUGGCCUACACACUAUUACUUUUCAAUACCAGCUAUUAAGCUCUUUGUUAAAUCUAUGGGGGUCCAAUACCCAAACAAAGUCAGCAGACUUCUUCGCACGCCUCCAACCGUUCUCCUCUCCAAAACUGCAUGAAGACAAUAAAGGUUCCAUUAUUUAUCAUGCAGGUGCGUUGAAAGUGAACUACAUAUUAGGAUUGGAAGUACAAGCACAGAUCACAUGAGUAGGAAGAGCCACAUGAGUAGGAAAGCUCUUAAUGAUGAUUUAAGUCACUUCAUCUUCUACUUCUCAAUCACCAAUUGUGACGGGGCCUAAAACAAAUUUAUUAAAUUCAGUCCAAGAACACAAAUANNNNNNNNNNNNNNNNNNNNNNNNNNNNNNNNNNNNNNNNNNNNNNNNNNNNNNNNNNNNNNNNNNNNNNNNNNNNNNNNNNNNNNNNNNNNNNNNNNNNGUACCCGUACUUAACCGUCCGUACCGACCUCGUCGACUACUCAACCCUACCGCCUCCCGACGGCCCGUAAMCSUAAAACCGUACUACCGGCUCACUAAGCCCCGUUGCGGCGCUCGAGCUCAUCCGCGUCGACCCUGGGUCCACCCUGGCCUGUGCCCAGGUCGUUGCCACACCACUCGCCGUCGCGGCCGACCUCAACCACCACUGUUGUCGAUCUCAACCCACCCGCCUCCGCGGCCGUACCUCUGCCCGCUUGCUGCCCCCGUUUCUGCGCUCAAGCACAGCUUCUGGAUCAAAUCAACGCGACAGCUACAGUGACUGGGGAUGAUGCGUCUGCUCGAUGCAGAACGGCGGUGCCGCGGAUAAGGCGCGACGAAGCGAGGUACUUGCAGGUGGAGCGCGGGCUCCAUGGCUCACACGGGGAACUCCGAGGUUAUGGCGCGGCAACAACGACUCCUUAUGGCCAGAUAGAGGCGCCUAACCCUUGCUUCCCUCAUCGUAUCCCCUCCUCCGGCAGGAACUCAUCAUCUGGUGAGAUCCCCUCCCCAUGCCUUCAACCGUGUGUCAAGCACCGACAAGAAUUUUUUUUUGUGAGGAUUUGUUUGCUGAUGAAUUAAUGUAUUGAAUGUAAGGGAUAGGAAUUAACAAUGAACGGGUUGAUUUCUUAACAAAAUAGGAUAUGACUAACUACGUUAGUUAGUUAGUUUAUUAUUUUAAUAAAUCAAAAUAAUUAUAAAAAAAUUAAAAACGUGUGGUAUUUUUUUCUCCCGUUGUAACGCACGAGUCCUUUUGUUAGUUUUUUCUUAAAUGACAUCUCGUUGCAGAGCCACGCAAAUGCAUAACAAACCAUGAGCACACAACUCCAGGAUAGAUAAACGCGUGCUAGUAAACCAGGAGUACAUAAUCUCAAGUGUUGUAUAGUCCGUUACGUGAAUGUUGUGUAGCUUAUAUAUUUAAAAGGUUCGUGGCUGCUGCCUCCAAAUGACAGCUACUCCCUUCGUUUCUAAAUAUAAGUCUUUUAAGAGAUUUCAUUAAAUGACUAUAUACCGAGCAAAAUGGAUGAAUCUACGCUCUAAAGUAUGUCUAUGUACAUCCGUAUGUAGUUUUUUUGUGAAACCCUAAAAAAACUUAUAUUUAGGAACGGAGGGAGUACCUGCCAUCAAUCAGCCGGUGAUGUUGCAAGAACACGAUAACCUAUUCAGCCACUAACCAAAUUGUAGCCAGAGUGUGUUCAAGAGCCUCUCUAAUUUUGAUGUGAAACUAAAAGAGCGUGUGUGUCUUGAUGGACAUUUUAUGUCGUUAACAUUAGCUGUGGGUCAAGUUCAAAAAAAUAUAUUAAAAAAAAUAGCUGCGGGUCAGCAGUGGUUAUUAUUGUCUAAUUAGCCGAGUCAAGACCGCGCACUCUUGUUCCGACCCCCCCCCCCCCCGGUAUUUUUAUUUCCGUCUACUCCUAGCGUGUNNNNNNNNNNNNNNNNNNNNNNNNNNNNNNNNNNNNNNNNNNNNNNNNNNNNNNNNNNNNNNNNNNNNNNNNNNNNNNNNNNNNNNNNNNNNNNNNNNNNGUACUUCUUCCGCCCAGAGUUUUUUUUAUAAAAUCCAARUCCAAGAAGGCCAAGGKCCCCCGCCGCCUCCGACGACUCCGAAGCCCCAGGCCCCGCACUCGAUGCUGCCGCCGACGACACCGCGGUACGUCUCGAUCUCCACCCCUAUACGCAAUCCGAAUCCACAAUGCCCAUCCAAAUCUCACAACUGCUCUGCGCACAACCGACGGCGCAACUGCUAGCACCACCUACAGUACGUAGUUUCUUUUUCUUUUCGCAAAAGAACUGAGGUAGAACUUUCCCGCUGCACCGAGAGUAAAAUAAUUAACACUGCUCUUACUUACAGUGGCUACUACGUACUUAGUUUAAUUUUACAUCUAAGUGUGCUUUAGUGGGCUCAUUAGUAGUAUAAUGGCAUGCUCAUUGGUUGGACUAUAGCUUUGUUUGGCGCCACCAAACAUGUGAUUAGGGAACUGACUGAUGAGUGAGAACAGCGGUAGAUGCCAUCGUCCCGACAUGUUGGUCAGACACGCAUGUGCAUCACGCCGUUGCUACGGGCAGAGCAGUUAAUGGGAAAUAACAAAAAAAACUAAACGUUUCAAAGUCAAGCUUCUGCCAGUCACUGUAGCAUUAUAUAAACUCCGAGCGUGUACUGCGCCCGGCCGUAAACAAUGCAUUCCGGAAGCCUCCACGACACUGCUCACCACACAUUAUAUUAUUUUUACCGCCACUUGGAAUUGCUUAUAAAAUCUGCCUCUUCCGUUGUGCAGGGCGCUGUCCAGAGCAUGGCAGGAAGCAUCAUGUCGGCGUGCGCGAUGGCGCUGGGCCUCGUCGCCCUCCUCGCCUAGACGACGACGAGCAAAGCCGGCGAAUGCGGGAGGCCCGGCCCGGCCCCCGGCCCCGUCAAGGCCCGCCACGAGGACACGCAAUCAUGCACGCACCGGGCCUCUUUCGGACGAGCUGUCCGUCUUUGCGCGCCACCGCAUUUUGUGCUGUCUGUAUUUUUUUCUAACUGGCCGGACGGGCCGGCCUCUCCUGUGUAGCCCCGCUCACGCGCGUUCGUUCGCCUCGGAUUCUUUCUUUCUUGCCCCCCUCCCUGUACCGCCAAAUUGAUGAGAUUUGAUUUAUAUUUUUAUUUAUCAUUACUCCCCUUCAUUGUAUUAUGCCAUCCUUGUUUAAUCAUAGAUCUGUCUCUUUCAUCAUGCGCGCGUGCACUGUUUGUUGGGGGUGGGGUGUCCCGUCCUGAGACGUGAUGUGUGCGGUGCUGGCCGGCCAGAUCUGGUUUUGGUUCGAUGUGUAUGGCGCUUGCAUCUGGUCUGGACCUGGACCAGGGACACCGCAACCGAAAUGGGAAUUUUACUUUACCUUUCUCGGACGUGCUCGUUCUAACACGGUCGCAGCUGAAAUGCUAAGACGAUUUGGGUAUUUUUUCCACCCAUGCUUGCCUAUUUAUCUCGAGAAAGAAACUAGCAGGAGCAAAAGAUGGUAGGCAUCUCGUUUAUCACAAGGAGAAAUACGUUCUCCCGAAAUAUCAACCCAUCGAUUCGACCACUGCCGUCAUCAGAAGGAGCCGUUGCGGACUCACUUGCAGAUGCUUUUAACCUCACAAAUGUUGAAAUAAAAAAAAUUAUGUUAUUCUAUACCUAAUAAUAAUAAAGCGACUAUUGCUUUCGUCGGAAAACUCACCGCGACAUUUUCAUAAAAAAAGCCCCUGUAAUUUUUGUUGUUCAACCCGCGCUCCAUCAUUUAUCUCCAACGCAAAAGAAAAAAAACGAUUCGCUGCAAAAAAUAUACUCGUACGCAUCGCCUCAUCCCGUCGAUCCUGGGCCACCCUGGCCUGUGCCCAGGCCGCCGCCACACCACUCGCCGUCGCGGCCGACCUCAACCGCCACCGCUGUCGAUCUCAACCCACCGCCUCCGCGGCCGUACCUCUCACCGCUCACUGCCCCCGUUUGCGGCGCUCGAGCUCAUCGUCGUGACCUGKACCCUUGGUACCACCCUGGCCUGUGCCCAGGUCGUUGCCUACGGACCACNNNNNNNNNNNNNNNNNNNNNNNNNNNNNNNNNNNNNNNNNNNNNNNNNNNNNNNNNNNNNNNNNNNNNNNNNNNNNNNNNNNNNNNNNNNNNNNNNNNNGAGUGUUCACAAUCAUAGAUGGUGUCAAGGAUGAUAUAUUUAUAUGUGAACCUCUCCUUCUUUAUCACUUCCCAUUAAUUGCAACAAUGACCAAGGUCUACGUUUGUCUACCCUCAACAAGUUUGAAUCAUCAUCCUUUUUAUAUAUGAAGCCAUCACUUCCCAUAAGAUCACUAUAUGAUCUCUCAUGGUUUUUUUCUUUCUCGAUCUUUUGAUCAUGGCAAGAGGCAAAGCCCUUCAACUAAGAUACUCCUUAUUAUAUGGCUCACGAGCUCGAAUACAUCAGGGGGAGACGCAAAGCAAAAACUCAAGCCUAAAACACUAAGACAUUUAUUCUACUAGAGAAAGAGAAAAACUGAAAAAGGAACAAACUAAAAACAAAGGUAAAGGCAAAAGAUAUGAUGGUGAUACGAUACCGGGGCAACUCCCCCAAGCUUGGCACAAGCCAAGGGGAUUGCCCAUACCCAUGCUCAGUUGUCUUCCUUUGGAGUGAUGGUGGUCACUGGUGAAGACGACGAACGCUCCGUCUUGAUGCGGGUAGUCGUCAGGGGUGUGGGCCGUUGCCGCGAGGCGGCGGUGGCGGAGCNGAGCAUGAUUGGGAGNNNNNNNNNNNNNNNNNNNNNNNNNNNNNNNNNNNNNNNNNNNNNNNNNNNNNNNNNNNNNNNNNNNNNNNNNNNNNNNNNNNNNNNNNNNNNNNNNNNNCGACCGUUAACCCCCCCUUCGGGUUCCGGCGGCCCUCCGGGUUCGGGCCGUUUAAUGGGGGCCCCCGUCGUUUGGCCCCCCUUUUUCGGCUCCCAUCUUUCCUAUAAGGAGGGUUUCGUUCCNUAAAAAAUCAAGAGUAGGCUUUCGGGAGGAAUCGCCGCCGCCACAGGCGGAACUUGAACAGAACCAGUCUAGAGCUCCGGCAGGGCCGUCCUGCUGGGGGAAACUUCCCUCCCGGAGGGGGAAAUCGUCGCCAUCGUCAUCACCAACACUCCUCUCAUCGGAGGGGACUCAUCACCAUCAACAUAUUCAUCAGCACCAUCUCAUCUCCAAACCCUAGUUCAUCUCUUGUAACCAAUCUCCGUCUCGCGAUUCCGAUUGGUACUUGUAAGGUUGCUAGUAGUGUUAAUUACUCUUUGUAGUUGAUGCUAGUUGGAUUACUCGGUGGAAGAUCAUAUGUUCAGAUCUCUAAUGCUAUUCAAUACCUCUCUGGUCAUGAACAUAAUUAUGUCUUUGUGAAUAUCUAUGCAAUUGUUUAUUUCUAUAGGCAUCACGUCCGAAACAAGUAGACCGAUACUUUCUGCAUCUACUACUAUUACUCCACACGUCGACCGCUAUCCAGCAUGGAUCUAGUGUANNNNNNNNNNNNNNNNNNNNNNNNNNNNNNNNNNNNNNNNNNNNNNNNNNNNNNNNNNNNNNNNNNNNNNNNNNNNNNNNNNNNNNNNNNNNNNNNNNNNGUAACGUAACGUAACGUAACGUAACGUAACGUAACGUAACGUACGUACGUACGUAACGUACGUACGUACGUACGUAACGUAACGUAACGUAACGUAACGUAACGUAACGUAACGGUAUUAAAACCCCGUAACGACGUUUUUAACCCUUUACGACNGUANANACCCUUAGUCCCUGUAGUGGCCUUGCUUGCCGCUACUGUCAGUGGGAAAGGUCACCACAUGGUAGAACCCAAAACCAAGCACUUCUCCCAUUGCAAGAAUCAUAGAUCUAGUUGGCCAAACAAAACCCAAGACUCGGAGAGACUUACAAGGAUAUCAAAUCAUGCAUCUAAGAAAUAAGCAAAGACUCAAAUAUAUAUCAUAGAUAAUCUGAUCACAAAUCCACAAUUCAUCGGAUCUCGACAAACACACCGCCAAAGAAGAUUACAUCGGAUAGAUCUCCAUGAAGAUCAUGGAGAACUUUGUAUUGAAGAUCCAAGAGAGAGAAGAAGCCAUCUAGCUACUAACUACGGACCCGUAGGUCUGAAGUGAACUACUCACGAGUCAUUGGAGGGGCGAUGAUGAUGAUGAAGAAGCCCUCCAACUCCAAAGUCCCCCUCCGGCAGGGCGCUGGGAAGGGUCCCUCUUCAAAUAAACCUUGCAAAAUAAGAGAGAAAAAGGCAUAAAUAUGGUACCAAAAAGUAAUAUAACAGCCCAAAAAAGCAAUAAAUAUCAACAUUAAAAGCAUNNNNNNNNNNNNNNNNNNNNNNNNNNNNNNNNNNNNNNNNNNNNNNNNNNNNNNNNNNNNNNNNNNNNNNNNNNNNNNNNNNNNNNNNNNNNNNNNNNNNGAUAACCCAUAAGAUAGGGACGCAACAGUUUUCGAGGUAGAGUAUUCAACCAAUUUAUUGAUUCGACACAAGGGAGCCAAGAAUAUNUCGAGUAUAGUAUUGAGUUGUCAAUUCAACACACCUGAAAGNUUUAAUAUCUGCAACAAGUAUUUAGUAGCAAAGUAGUAUGGAAGUAACGGUAACUGUGGCAAACGUGAGAGUAGCUGUUUUUGUAGUGAUUGUAACAAUAGCAACAGAAAAGUAACUUAGCAAAGACCAAUAUGUGGAAAGCUCGUAGGCAAUUGAUCGGUGAUGGAUAAUUUUUUCGGGGUGCAUUCAUCAUGCAACAGUAAUAACAUAGGGUGAUACAGAACUAGCUCCAAUUCAUCAAUGUAAUGUAGGCAUGUAUUCCAUAUAUAGUCAUACGUGCUUAUGGGAAAAGAACUUGCAUGCCAUUCUUUKKCCUACUCUCCGUUGUAGGGCCAACCCGGGGGGUUUCCUAAUGGGAAAACUAGGGAUAUUAAGGGCCUCCUUUUUAANGACAACCGGACCAAAAGGCCAUUAACCCAUUUAGUGAAAUACCGUAUCGAACUCCUCNNNNNNNNNNNNNNNNNNNNNNNNNNNNNNNNNNNNNNNNNNNNNNNNNNNNNNNNNNNNNNNNNNNNNNNNNNNNNNNNNNNNNNNNNNNNNNNNNNNNUAACAGAAAGCUUAAACCCUAGUUUAUGCGUUGCUUCGUAAAGGGGCUGAUUUGGAUCCACUAGUUUAAUGUUAUGGUUAGACUUUGUCUUAAUUCUUCUUUCGUAGUUGCGGAUGCUUGCGAGAGGGGGUUAAUCAUAAGUGGGAUGGUUGUCCAAUUAAGGGCAAUACCCAAGCGCCGGUCCACCCACAUAUCCAACUAUCAAAGUAACGAACGCGAAUCAUAUGAACAUGAUGAAAAGUAGCAUGACAGAAAUUCCCGUGUGUCCUCCGGAGCAUUUUUCCUCCUAUAAGACUUUGUCCAGCCUUGUCCCUUGCUACAAAAGGGAUUGGGCCACUUUGCUGCACCAUUGCUACUUUUUUUACUUGUUGCUUGCUACGAAUCACCUCACCAUACAAUCACAUGUUACCGAUAAUUUCAGUGCUUGCAGAUAUUACCUUGCUGAAAACCACUUGUCAGAUCCUUUUGCUCCUUGUUGGGUUCGACACUCUUACUUAUCGAAAGGACUACGAUUGAUCCCCUGUACUUGUGGGUCAUCAAGACUCUUUUCUGGAGCCGUUGCCGGGGAGUGAAGCGCCUUUGGUAAGUGGAACUUGAUAGGAAACAUUCAUAUAGUGUGCUGAAUUUAUUGUCACUUGUCACUAUGGAAACUAAUUCUUUGAGGGGCUUGUUCGGGGUAUCUUYACCUCAAACGGAAGAACAAAGAGUUGCUCCUCAACCUGCUUCACCUACUAGAAAAUAUUUGCUUUGAAUUUCCUUCGAGUAUGCUUGAGAAACUGCUGGCUAAUCCUUUUACAGGAGUAUGGAACAUCACAUCCAGACUUGCAUCUAAUAUAUGUAGAUGAAGUUUGNGGUUUAUUAAGCUUGGCAGGGUUUUUUCCCCCGAAGGUAUUGAAGGUCAAUAGAGGUCUUCUUAUCUUUGAAGGNUAAGGCGUUUAGACAUUGGUACUAGGCUAUGUGAUGAUANNNNNNNNNNNNNNNNNNNNNNNNNNNNNNNNNNNNNNNNNNNNNNNNNNNNNNNNNNNNNNNNNNNNNNNNNNNNNNNNNNNNNNNNNNNNNNNNNNNNCAAGCUAUAAGAGCUGUGUGUUGAACUAUAACAUGCAAGGGAUGAACAAGUCACCCGGCGAGUUAUUCGCGAUGCUGAAAGUCGCAGAGUCAGAACUCCGUAAAGAGCAUCAAGUGUUGAUGGUGAAUAAGACCACCAGUUUCAAGAGAAACGACAAAUGGAAGAAGGGUAAUUCAAAGAAGAGCGGCAAGCCUGAUGCCAAUCCAACGAAGAAGCCCAAAGUAGGACCUAAGCCUGAAACAGAGGGCUAUUAUUGCAAGGGUAUGGGUCACUGGAAGCGCAACUGCCCCAAGUAUCUGGCUGAUAAGAAGGCGGCCAAGGAAAAAUCAGGUGUAUUUGAUAUACAUGUUAUUGAUGUGUACUUAACCAGCUCUCGUAGUAGUGCCUGGGUAUUCGAUACCGGUUCUGUUGCUCAUAUUUGCAACUCGAAACAGGAACUGCGGAAUAAGUGAAGGCUGGCGAAGGAUGAAGUGACGAUGCGCGUGGGAAAUGGUUCCAAGGUUGAUGCAAUCGCCGUCGGCACAGUUUCACUUCAGUUACCAUUAGGAUUAGUUAUGAACUUAAAUAAAUGUUAUUUAGUGCCUGCUUUAAGCAUGAACAUUAUAUCUGGAUCUUGUUUAUUGCGAGACGGUUACUCGUUUAAGUCAGAGAAUAAUGGUUGUUCUAUUUCUAUGAGUAAUAUAUUUUAUGGUCAUGCACCCAAUGUGAAAGGAUUGUUCAUAUUGAAUCUUGAUAGUGAUAAUACACAUAUACAUAACAUUGAGACCAAAAGAGUUAGAGUUAACAAUGAUAGCGCCAUUUUUUAUGGCACUGCCGCUUAGGUCAUAUUGGUGUAAAGCGCAUGAAGAAACUCCAUACCGAUGGACUUUUGGAGUCACUUGACUUUGAUUCACUUGACACGUGCGAACCAUGCCUCAUGGGCAAGAUGACUAAAAUUCCGUUCUCCGGAACAAUGGAGCGUGCAAGUGACUUGUUGGAAAUCAUACAUACAGAUGUGUCUGGUCCGAUGAGUGUGGAGGCACGCGGCGGAUAUCGUUAUUUUCUCACCUUCACUGACGAUUUGAGUAGAUACGGUUAUGUCUACUUGAUGAAGCACAAGUCUGAAACAUUUGAAAAGUUCAAACAAUUUCAGAGUGAAGUCGAAAAUCAUCAUAACAAGAAGAUCGAGUUCCUAUGGUCUGAUCGUGGGGGUGAAUAUCGGAGUUUCGAGUUUGGUGCUCACUUAAGACAAUGUGGAAUUGUUUCACAGUUGACACCGCCUGGAACACCAGAGCGUAAUGGUGUGUUCGAACAUCGUAAUCAUACUUUAUUUGAGAUGGUGCGAUCUAUGAUGUCUCUUACCGAUUUGUCGUUAUCGUUUUGGGGUUAUGCAGUAGAAACAACUGCAUUCACUUUAAAUAGGGCACCAUCGAAAUCCGUUGAGACGACACCAUAUCAGCUGUGGUAUGGCAAAAGACCAAAGUUGUCGUUUCUUAAAGUUUGGGGAUGUGAUGCUUAUGUCAAAAAGCUUCAGGCUGAAAAGAUGGAAUGCAAAGCGAAAAAGUGCGUCUUCAUAGGUUACCCAAAAGAGACAGUUGGGUAUACCUUCCGUCUCAAAUCCGAGGGCAAAGUGUUUGUUGCUAAGAACAGAGCUUUUCUCGAGAAGGAGUUUCUCUCGAGAGAAUUGAGUGGGAGGAAGAUAGAACUUGAUGAGGUUGUCGAACCUCUCAUCCCUCUGGAUGGUGGCGCAGGGCAAGGGGAAACCCGUGUCGUUGCGACGCCGGUUGAGGAGGAAGUUAAUGAUGAUGAUCAUGAAACUCCGGAUGAAGUUCCUAUCGGACCUCGCAUGUCGACGAGACUGCGUACUACUCUAGAGUGGUACGGUAAUCCCGUCUUAUCAAUUAUGUUGUUGGACAACAAUGAGCCUGCGAAUUAUGAAGAAGCAAUGGUGGGCCCGGAUUCCAACAAAUGGUUGGAGGCCAUGAACUCCGAGAUAGGAUCUAUGUAUGAAAACCAAGUGUGGACUUUGGAAGUACUACCUGAAGGCCGCAAGGCUAUUCACAACAAAUGGAUCUUUAAGAAGAAGACGGGCGCUGACGGUAAUGUGACCGUUUAUAAAGCUAGACUUGUGGCAAAGGGUUUUUCACAAGUUCAAGGAAUUGACUACGAUGAGACAUUCUCACCCAUACCAAUGCUUAAGUCCGUCCGAAUCAUGUUAGCGAUAGCUGCAUUUUUCGAUUAUGAAAUCUGGCAGAUGGAUGUCAAAACGGCGUUCCUUAACGGUUUCCUUAAGGAAGAGUUGUAUAUGAUGCAACUUGAAGGUUUUGUCGAUCCUAAAAAUGCUAACAAAGUGUGCAAGCUCCAGCGAUCCAUUUAUGGACUGGUGCAAGCAUCUCGGAGUUGGAAUAAACGCUUUGAUGAGGUGAUCAAAGCAUUUGGGUUUAUACAGGUGGUUGGAGAAUCCUGUAUUUACAAGAAAGUGAGUGGGAGCUCUGUGGCGUUCCUAAUACUAUAUGUGGAUAACAUAUUACUGAUUGGAAACGGCUGGAGCUUUUGGAGAGCAUAAAGGAUUACUUGAAUAAAAGUUUCUCUAUGAAGGACCUAGGAGAAGCUGCUUACAUUCUAGGCAUAUAGAUCUAUAGGGAUAGAUCAAAACGCCUGAUAGGUCUUUCGCAAAGCACGUACCUUGAUAAAGUUUUGAAGAGGUUCAAAAUGGAACAGUCCAAGAAGGGGUUCUUGCCAGUUUUACAAGGUACGAGAUUGAGUAAGACUCAGUGCCCAGCAACUGAUAAAGAUAGAGAGCAUAUGAGUACCGUCCCCUAUGCUUCAGCCAUAGGUUCUAUCAUGUAUGCAAUGUUGUGCACUAGACCGGACGUUAGCCUGGCCAUAAGUAUGGCAGGCAGGUUCGAGAGUAAUCCAGGAGUGGAUCACUGGACGGCGGUCAAGAAUAUCCUGAAGUACCUGAAAAGGACUAAGGAGAUGUUUCUCGUAUAUGGAGGUGACAAAGAGCUCGCCGUAAAAGGUUACGUCGAUGCAAGCUUUGAUAUAGAUCCGGACAACUCUAAGUCGCAGACCGGAUACGUAUUUAUUCUUAAUGGGGGUGCGGUAAGCUGGUGCAGUUCCAAGCAAAGCAUCGUAGCUGAUUCUACAUGUCAAGCGGAGUACAUGGCCGCCUCGGAGGCAGCUAAGGAGGGUGUCUGGAUGAAGCAGUUCAUGACGGAUCUUGGAGUUGUGCCGAGCGCACUGAAUCCAAUAACCCUGUUUUGUGACAACACGGAAGCCAUGGCCUUAGCAAAGGAACCACGGUUUCACAAGAAGACCAGACACAUCAAACGACGCUUCAACCUCAUCCGCGACUACGUCGAGGAGGAGGACUUGAAUAUCUGCAAAGUGCACACGAAUCUGAAUGUGGCAGACCCGCUAACUAAACCUCUUCCACGGGCAAAGCAUGAUCAACACCAGAACUGUAUGGGUGUUAGAUUUAUUACAAUGUAAUUCACAUGACGAUGUGAGGACUAGAUUAUUGACUCUAGUGCAAGUGGGAGAGUGUUGGAAUUAUGCCCUAGAGGCAAUGAUAAAUAAGUUAUUAUCAUAAUUCCUGUAUCAAGAUAAUCGUUUAUUAUCCAUGCUAUAAUUGUAUUGAAUGAAGACUUAGAUACAUGUGUGGAUACAUAGACAAAACAAUGUCCCUAGCAAGCCUCUAGUUUGCUAGCCAGUUGAUCAAGGAUAGUCAAGGUCUUCUGACUAUGUACAAGGUGUUGUUGCUUGAUAACUCGAUCACAUCAUUGAGUGAAUCAUGUGAUGGACUAGAACCAAAUUAAUGAACGUAGCAUGUUGAUUUUGUCAUUUUAUUGCUACUGUUUUCUACAUGUCAAGUAUUUAUUCCUAUGACCAUGAGAUCAUAUAACUCACUGGCACCAGAGGAAUGCCUUGUGUGUAUCAAACAUCACAACGUAACUGGGUGACUACAAAGAUGCUCUACAGGUAUCUCUGAAGGUGUGGAUCAAGACUCGAAUUUGUCACUCCGUGUGACGGAGAGGUAUAUCGGGGCCCAAUCGGUAAUACAACAUCACACACAUGCCUUGCAAGCAAUGUGACUUAGUGUAAGUCACGGGAUCUUGUAUUACGGAACAAGUAAAGAGACUUGCCGGUAAAUGAGAUUGAAAUAGGUAUGCGGAUACUGACGAUCGAAUCUCGGGCAAGUAACAUACCGAAGGACAAAGGGAAUGACAUACGGGAUUAAAUGAAUCCUUGGCACUGAGGUUCAAUCGAUAAGAUCUUCGUAGUAUAUAUAGGAUUCAAUAUGGGCAUCCAGGUCCCGCUAUUGGAUAUUGACCGAGGAGUCCCUCGGGUCAUGUCUACAUAGUUCUCGAACCCGCAGGGUUUGCACACUUAAGGUUCGGUGAUGUUUUAUGUGUAUUUGAGUUAUAUGGUUGGUUACCGAAUGUUGUUCGGAGUCCGGAUGAGAUCACAGACGUCACGAGGGUUUCCGGAAUGGUUCGGAGACGAAGAUUGUUAUAUAGGAUGACCUCAUUUGAUUACCGGAAAGUUUUCGGGCAUUACCGGGAAUGUACCGGGAGUGACGAAUGGGUUCCGGAUGUUAACCGGGGGGCCCAGCCCACCCGGGGGAAGCCCAUAGGCCUUAGGGGUGCCGCACCAGCCCUAAGUGGGCUGGUGGGACAGCCCUAGAGGCCCUAUGCGCAGGAGAUAAAGAAAUCAAAUGAAAAAAAGGGGAAGUGGGAAGGAAGCGAAGGACUCCACCUUCCAAUCCUAGUUGGACUAGGAUUGGAGGAGGAUUCCUCCUCCCCUUGGUUCGGCCGACCCGUUGGGGCUCCCUUGAGCCUCAAGGCAAGGCCCUCCCCCCUCCCUCCUAUAUAUACUGAGGUAUUAGGGCUGAUUUGAGACAACUUUGCCACGGCAGCCUGACCACAUACCUCCACGGUUUUUCCUCUAGAUCGUAUUUUUGCGGAGCUUGGGCAGAGCCCUGCUGGGAUAGAUCAUCACCAAUCUCCGGAGCACCGUCACCCUGCCGGAGAACUCGUCUACCUCUCCGUCUCUCUUGCUGGAUCAAGAAGGCCGAGAUCAUCGUCGCGCUGUACGUGUGCUGAACGCGGAGGUGCCGUCCGUUCGGCACUAGAUCGGAGCGGAUCAUGGGACGGAUCGCGGGACGGUUCGCGGGGCGGAUCGAGGGAUGUGAGGACGUUCCACUACAUCAACCGCGUUUCUUAACGCUUCCUGCUGUGCGAUCUACAAGGGUACAUAGAUCGGAAAUCCCCUCUCGUAGAUGGACAUCACCAUGAUAGGUAUUGCAUGUGCGUAGGAUUUUUUUGUUUCCCGUAACUCGUACCCUACAGCUUAUGAUGAUGCUUUGCUUGAUACUGCUGUGCCACUGGGUGCAUUCCUUGAUGCACAAAUUGCUAUAGUUGCUGCUGAAUGUGAUGAUACUUCUGAAUCUGCUAAAUUAUUGAAGUAGAACCUGUUGUUUCACCUGUUAGAACUAGCUCUCCUAGAUAUGAAUUGCCUAAUAUACCCGAGGGUUACGUUAUGGAGGGAGAGGUAGGUGAUGACUUUCUUGCUUAUAAGGAUAGUUAUGAUCUUGAGAAUUUAUUGAUCAAGUGGAAAGAAAAAUCUCUGAAUGCUAGAAUGAAAUACGAUCCUAAGUUUGCUACUUCUCCCAUCUUUGUGACUGAUAAGGAUUAUGAAUUCUCUGUUGAUACUGAGUUGAUCACUUUGGUUGAAUCUGAUCCUUUUCAUGGUUAUGAGUCUGAAAUGGCUGUAGCACAUCUUACUAAGCUGAAUGAUAUAGCCACCUUAUUCACGAGUGAGGAAAAGAUUCGCCAUUACUAUAUCCUUAAGUUGUUUCCUUUCUCGCUAAAGGGUGAUGCUAAGACUUGGUUUACUUCUCUUGCUGCUCGUUGUGUGCGUAGUCCCCAGGAUAUGAUCUACUACUUCUGUGAGAAAUAUUUUCCUCCCCAUAAGAAACAAGCUGCCUUGCAGUAUAUAUAUAUAUAACUUUGUGCAAGUUGAAGAAAAGAGUCUCCCACAAGCUUGGGGAGGCUUGUUCAGUUACUGAAUGCUUUGCCUGAUCACCCUCUUGAGAAAAAUGAAAUACUUGAUAUCUUUUAUAAUGGACUAACCGAUGCUUCUAGGGACCACCUAGAUAGUUAUGCUGGUUGUGUUUUCAGGGAACGAACUAUGGAACAAGCUGAAAUUCUAUUGAAUAAUAUCUUGAGCAAUGAUAAUGCUUGGACUAUUUCCGAACCACCUCCGAAGCUAACUCCGAAGAAAAGAGGUAUUCUAUUCCUCAGUCCUGAAGAUAUGCAAGUAGCCAAGAAAUCUAUGCAAGAGAAAGGUAUUAAAUCUAAAGAUGUUAAGAAUUUACCACCUAUCGAAGAGAUACAUGGUCUUGAUAACCUGACACAGGUAGUAGAGGUAAAUUCUCUUCGUAGAUUCAAUGAGAGUGAUAUUCCUUUUGAUAAACCUACUAGCUUAUGCUUAGAUGAAUUUGAUAACUUUGUUGCCAAACAACAAAGUUUCAAUGAUUAUGUUAGCAGGCAAUUGGAACAAAAUGCUCGCAUGAUUAAUCAUUUAAGUGCUUGUGUGGAUAGAAAUGUCAAUGAUCUUAAGCUUUUGAGUAAACAUGCCUCUAUGGUCACUACUCAAGUAGAACAAGUACUUAAGGCUCAAAAUGACUUGCUCAAUGAGUUGAAUCACAAUUCUGUUAGAGUCGUCACUAGAGGUGGUAGAAUGACUCAAGAACCUUUGUAUCCUGAGGGCCAUCCUAAGAGAAUUGAACAAGAUUCUCAAGGAGUUAGCACUGAUGCACCUAGUCAUCCUAGUAAUAGGAAGAAAACGAAAGAUGAUAGGAAUUUGCAUGCUAGCAAACCAGCUGCUGUUACACGUGAGAAUCCAAAUGAUAUAUCUGUUUCUGAUGCCGAAACACAAUCUGGUGAUGAACAUGAGACUAGUGAUAAUAUCUAUAGUGGUGUUCAUGAUGAUGCUCAACCUAGUAAUGAUAAGGAUGUGGAGAUUGAACCUGUUGUUGAUCUUGAUAACCCACAACCUAAGAACAGGAGAUAUGAUAAGAACGACUUUAUUGCUAGGAAGCAUGGUAAAGAAAGAGAACCAUGGGUUCAGAAACCCAUGCCCUUUCCUCCCAAACCAUCCAAGAAAAAGGAUGAUGAGGAUUUUGAGCACUUUGUUGAAAUGAUUAGACUUGUCUUUCUGCAAAUGCGUUUGAUAGAUAUGCUCAAAAUGUCUCCUUAUACUAAGUACAUGAAAGAUAUUGUGACUAAUAAAAGGAAGAUACCUGAGAUUGAGAUUUCCACCAUGCUUGCUAAUUACACCUUCAAGGGUGGAACUCCUAAGAAACUAGGUGAUCCCGGAGUGCCACUAUACCUUGCUCCAUUAAAGGAAAUUAUGUUAGAACUGCUUUAUGCGAUCUUGGAGCUAGUGUUAGUGUUAUGCCUCUCUCUCUUUAUCGUAGACUUGAAUUGGAUAAGUUGACACCCACUAAAAUGUCUUUGCAAAUGGCCGACAAAUCAACUGCUUUUCCUAUCGUCAUUUGCGAGGAUGUGCCUGUUGUGGUUGCUAACGUUACUAUCUUAACGUACUUUGUUAUUCUGGAUAUUCCCGAGGAUGAUGCCAUGGCGGUCAUCCUUGGAAGACCCUUUUUAAACACUACAGGGGCUGUUAUUGAUUGCAACAAAGGCAAUAUCACUUUCCAUGUUAAUGUUAAUGAGCACACGGUGCACUUUCCGAAGAAACAAUAUCGAGUACAUUGCAUCAAUGCUAUUAAAAAACUUCAUCAAUUCUUAUUGGAAGCUUUGAAUGCCCUAUGCCUAUUGUCAAGAUGAAGUAUGAUUUACUUGUUGGGGAUAUGCACAUUCCCGUUGAGGUAACCUAGUGAUUAUUCAAAAAUUCUCCGGUUUUAUGUGAUUCGAAAAAAGUUUGUCAAGGAGACUUGAUCAACCUCAUUGACGGAUUUCUUUUGAUGACCAUGAGAUGGAUGAAUCUAGGAGUCACAACCUUCUGUUCCGAACUUUUAUUUUCUGUUGUUAAGAAGAAAAAUGAUAAAUUUAGCUUUAUUUUCCUGUUUUCUGCUUUUUGCGUCCCUUAGAAAAGUGUCCCGAAAAUAAAAGUUCUUCAAAUGCACUGAAAUUGAAGUAUGAUUUUUUCUGGAAUUUCUGAAAAAUUCUGAGAUAGAGAGCUAGUCAGGGGGAUGCACCAGUGGGCCACAAGCCCAGGAGGUGCGGGCACCCCCCUGGCCGCGCCUGGAAGGCUCGUGGGGCCCACGUGCCCCCUCCACUUAUUCCAUCUCCCAUCUCCUUCUUCUACCUCCAGAAAAAAUCAUUCCACAACUCAAACCCGUGUUCUUGCUGCAUUUUUUGAUCUCCUUGUGCAAAGCCCCAUUCACCAAACUGUUUGGGGGGAAUUGUUCCUUGGUAUGUGACUACUUCAUUGGUCCAAUUAGUUUUUGCUCUAGUGCUUUAUUCGUUGCAUAUUUUUGCUGCCUUGGUGACCCUGUUCUUGAGCUUUGCUUGUUAAUUUUAGUUGGUCCCAAGUAGUUUUGAUGCAUGAUAUGGCCUCUAGGCACUUGUAGGAGUAGUUGCUAUGAGUUUUGUUGAGCCUUGUUCACUUUUCUUUUGUGUCACUAAAAAUUUCAGAAAAGGAAGAUGUUCAAGAGAAAGUAUCAUGGUGGUUCCUCAAGCAAAAGGGGUCCCCGUCUCUCGAUUCGGGAGCCCGAUCCUUAUCAGCCGAGGAACGCACAGGUACAACCAUGUGACUGGCCUUCCGAUGAAUUCAUGAUUGAUGCAGGUUUCAAGGACGAGUUUGAUACAUUUGUUCACAACAUCGGGCUCGAAGAAUUCAUCUCCAACAAAUGCGAACGGUAGAUGCAUUAACGACAAGAUUAAGCAUUGUCACCUCUACGCACCUGACCUUAGUAUUCUUAAGAGCGCAGUAACGGGUGAUAGAAGUUUCAACAUGGGAGCUAUAAUCGCGAGGAGGCUAAAUAAUAAUUCUAAUGAAGGGAUUUCUUUGGUGGGAUCUAUGCCACCCGCAUAGCAAAUUUUCUUGGAGUACCCAUCCACGAAGGAGAUCCCCCGCUCCAUACAACUUUCCUUGAUCGCACCGCUAUGACACGCUAUCAGUUCCUUGAGAGGGAAAAUGAAUUUCUCCUAUACCGCUUAAUUUUUAACCGACAUCGUGUUUUCCAUAUUACCCUUCCUGCUCCUGCCUUCUUUGACUUUCAGGUAAAACGGAGAUAUUACAUAACCAUAGGAGAGGCAGAGGAGUAUGAGAGGGAGGCAAAGGCUGCUCGCCUCCGUGAGGCAGCUAGUCAGGCGGUAGCUGCUGCGUUCCCGUACAACCCCCAUUAUGAUUUUGGAUAUAGCCAGGACCAGCCGUGGGAGUAGACCAACUUAGGCCAAAAGCCUAAGCUUGGGGGAGUAUGUGUUUCACACCCACUUUAUAUUUAUGCUCACGAUUUCACCUUGCUAGUCGGUGUUCACACCUUGCCACUGUAUCAUCCAUGCUAGUUUAUUUAUUUUUCUCGCUUUCUUAUCGUGUGUUUGUUUAGAUUGAGAAAAACAAAAUAAAAUUAGUUGUAAGUUUACUUUCCAUCUUGCUUAGUGGUGUUUAAAAAGAAAACCCAAAAAUAUUUCCCGUUCUUCUUUUGCUUGUUGGGGGCUUUCCCGUGUAAAUAGUUUUCUUUUUCUUUGGGUCAAGGUAGAAGACCAUGAUUAAAAUGUUUAGUGGCUCUCACAUGCAUGUAUAUUUAUCCUCAAAGAGCGAUAUUACUUUGUCUUCUCCUCUGUGUUUGCUUGCAAAUUCCAGCUUAGUCCAAUGCACGAACACUCUCAUUAUUAUUCGCAUCAUUCGGUCGUGCAAGUGAAAGGCAAUAAUGACGAUAUAUGAUGAAGUGACUGAGCCUGGAAAAGCCGGUAUGAGCUCGAUCUAUUUUGUAUUUGUAAAUAUGACUAGCUCAUCGUUCCUAAUCCAGCAUUGUUAUGAGAGAAACAUGUUUGCAAUGACAACUUAGUGAUCAUAGUUUUUGAUGCCAUGCUUAAUUAGCUAGGAGCUUAUAAUGGUUUGUCAUGGAUGCCAACAUGAAUUUCAAGAUGAUUAUGAUGUAGUAUGAUAGGGUGGUAUCCUCCUUUGAAUGAUUCAAGUGGCUUGACUUGGCGCAUGUUUACACAUGUAGUUGAAACAGAAUCAACAUAGACUCUAUGAUAUUCAUGUUUAUGGUGAUUGAUGUCCUACUCAUGCUUGCACUCAAUGUUGGUUAAUUUCAAUGCAUAUUGAUGAUUGUUGUCGCUCUCUAGUUGGUUGCUUCCCAGUCUUUUGCUAGCCUUCACUUGUACUAAGCGGGAAUACUGCUUGUGCAUCCACUUCCAUAAACCCAAAGUUGUUCCAUAUGAGUCCACCAUACCUACCUAUAUGCGGUACCUACCUGCCGUUCCAAGUAAAUUUUCAUGUGCCACUCUCUAAACCUUCAAGUAAUAAUCUGUUAUGCAUGCCCGAACCGCUCAUGUGGUGACAAGGGGCGGUCAGUAUCUUCCAUGCUAGGCGUGUUAUCCUCGAUACAUGUUUAUUCACUAUCACUCACGAGAAAUGGGUCGGUAAACGGAAUGCCCAGUUCCAUGCUCAAAUCAAAAAUGUAAUUGCAAACAAAACUCCCCCUGGAUUGUUGUUGGUAUGGACGGCACCCGAGGAUUCGGCUAGUCGUGGAGUGUGAUUGAUCGGUGGUGGGGGAGUCAAAACUUUACCUUUCUGUUUGGGAACCGCCUAUAAUAUGUGUAGCAUGGAAGAUGGUGAAAACUCUUGGUCAUCGCGUUGACAAUGAAAGCAUGCCACCCAAAAUUAUUUAUCUCUAUCUUCAAAGCUUGAGCUCUGGCACCUCUGCAAAUCAAUGCUUCCCUCUGCGAAGGGCCUAUCUAUUUAUGUUUUUGUUGAGUCAUCCUCUCCUUAUAAACACACCAAUUAGAGAGCACCUUCGUCAUUUUUAUGCUUUUCUAUUAAUUGUUAUUGAGUAUGACUGUGACUGGAUCUUAUUUGCCAUGAAUUACAAUGUUCAGUCACCCCUUGGUCUUUGAAGGUGCUCUGCAUUUAUGGUUUGCAGUCUCAGAAAGAGCUAGCGAGAUACCAUCUGUUCAUAUUGCUUCAUGAUUGUUUUGAUUGAAGUGUUGACGUUUGAAACUCAUUAUUAUUGCUCGCUAGUUGAUUAUGCCAUUGAAAUGAGUACAUCAUCAAACAUAAAUGUCAUUGCUUAUGUGGUUCGCUUAUGAUCUUGCUGAAAAUCCGAAUAUGAGUUAGACAUGAUUACAGCAACAAGAUCAAACAGAGUUCGUAAAAGUUUUUCUUUUUUAUCUUUCAAUUUGUCAACUGAAUUGCUUGAGGACAAGCAAGGCUUUAAGCUUGGGGGAGUUGAUACGUCUCCAUCAUAUCUACUUUUCCAAACUCUUUUGCCCUUGUUUUGGACUCUAAUUUGCAUGAUUUGAAUGGAACUAACUGAUGACCCACAAGUGUAGGGGAUCUAUCAUAGUCCUUUCGAUAAGUAAGAGUGUCGAACCCAACGAGGAGCAUAAGGAACUGACAAGUGGUUUUCACCAAGGUAUUCUCUGCAAGCACUGAAAUUAUCGGUAACAGAUAGUUGUGUGAUAAGAUGAUUCGUAGAAAGUAGCAAGUAACAAUAGUAACAAAGGCACAGCAAAGUGGCCCAAUCCCUUUUGUAGCAAGGGACAAGCCUGAACAAACUCUUAUAUGAGGUAAAGCGCUCCUGAGGACACAUGGGAAUUUCUGUCAAGCUAGUUUUCAUCAUGUUCAUAUGAUUCGCGUUCGCUACUUUGAUAAUUUGAUAUGUGGGUGGACCGGUGGUUGGGUGCUGCCCUUACUUGGAAAACGUACCACUUAUGAUUAACCCCUAUUGAAAGCAUCCGCAACUAUGAAAGAAGAAUUAAGACUAAAUUUAACCAUAGCAUUAAACUAGUGGAUCCAAAUCAGCCCCUUACGAAGCAACACAUAAACUAGGGUUUAAGCUUCUGUCACUCUAGCAACCCAUCAUCUACUUAUUACUUCCCAGUGCCUUCCUUUAGGCCCAAAUAAUGGUGAAGUGUCAUGUAGUCGACAUUCACAUAACACCACUAGAGGAAAAACAACAUACAACGCAUCAAAAUAUCAAACGAAUACCAAAUUCACAUGACUACUUAUAGCAAGACUUAUCCCAUGUCCUCAGGGGCAAAAGUGACUACUCACAAAGCAUAAUUAUGUUCAUGACCAGAGAGGUAUUGAAUAGCAUUAGAGAUCUGAACAUAUGAUCUUCCAUCGAGUAAUCGAACUAGCAUCAACUACAAAGAGUAAUUAACACUACUAGCAACCUUACAAGUACCAAUCGGAGUCGCGAGACGGAGAUUGGUUACAAGAGAUGAACUAGGGUUUGGAGAUGAGAUGGUGCUGAUGAAGAUGUUGAUCGUGAUGAGUCCCCUCCGAUGAGAGGACUGUUGGUGAUGACGAUGGCGACGAUUUCCCCCUCCGGAAGGGAAGUUUUCCCGGCAGGACGGCCCUGCCGGAGCUCUAGAUUGGUUGUGCUCAAGUUCCGCCUCGUGGCGGCGGCGAUUCCUCCCGAAAGCCUCCUCUUGAUUUUUUAUCGAUUUAAACCCUCCUUAUAGCAAAACAUGGGAGCCAGAGGGGCAACAGGGGGCCCACAAACCACCCAGGCAUGGCCAAGGGGGUAGGCCGCGCCUGGGUGGCUUGUGGCCUCGUGGUGGCUCCCCUCCAGUACUUCUUCCGCCCAGUAUUUUUUUAUAAAAUCCAAAAUAAUUCCUCGUUGAUUUUCACGGCUUUUAGAGUUGCGCAGAAUAGGUAUCUCAAACUUGCUCCUUUUUCAGACCAGAAUUCCAGCUGCCGGCAUUGUCCCUCUUCAUGUAAACCUUAUAAAAUAAGAGAGAAAAGGCAUAAGUAUUGUAGCGUAAAGUGUAAUAACAUCCCAUAAAGCGAUAAAUAUCAACAUAAAAGAAUGAUGCAAAAUGGACGUAUCAACUCCCCCAAGCUUAGACCUCGCUUGUCCUCAAGCGGAAGCCGAGAUCAAUAAAUAUGCCCACAUGUUUAGAGAUAUUGGUGUCGGUAAAACAAAAUACGGACAUGCAUGCAUCAUGAUCAUAAUUAGAACAACAAUAGCGUCAUAUAAACUCUUAUGCUAAAGUGACAAUUCCUUCACAAAGUAAAGUAUGGAUCAAGAAUCUUAUUGAGAAUUAACAACCAAUAGCCUUUAGUCAUUGAAACAAUAGCAAUUUAUCAUAACAUCGGAAAGAGUCAAAUAAGAGCCUGUAAAGCAAAUCCACAUACUCAAUCAUCUUUUAGUCUUCUACAAUUGCUUAAACUCACGCGGUACUCAUGAGAUCAAAGUUUCAGUGGAACACAGAGAAAGAUAGGGACUUAUAGUUUCACCUCCCAACUAUUUACCUCAAGGGUAAAGUCAACAAUAAUAAUUCAUGAAUACUUACUUCCAAGUUGACAUAUGAAUAUAGAUCUUUCCCUAGCAUAUGACGUUAGCCAAGAUAAAGGCGAAAUAAGGAAUUGGUGUCGAUCACCAUGACUCUUUUAAGGACAAAAAGUAAAGGUACAAGAUAGGCCCUUCGCAGAGGGAAGCAGAGGUUGUCAUGCGCUUUUGAGGUUUGGAUGUGUGACCUCUUAGUGUGGAGGAACGUCACUUUAUAUUGCCUCGUGUGAUAAAGAACUUUACUAUGCAGUCUGUCGCUUUUAUGUCUUCCUCAUCACAGGUUCGUACAAAGCUUAUUUUCCACACAGUAAUAGAUCAUACAUAUUUAGGGAGCAAUUUUUAUUGCUUGCACCGAUGACAACUUACUUGAGGGAUCUUAUUCAAUCCAUAGGUAGGUAUGGUGGACUCUCAUGGCAAAACUGGGUUGAAGGUUUAUGGAUGCACAAGUAGUAUCUCUACUUAGUGCGGACGUUUUGGCUGAUAUGAGGUGGAAGCAAGCAUCACAUGCUAAGGGAUCUCUAGUCAUAUAACAUUGUUCGGAACCAAGCAAUCAUAAUUCAUUAUGUUGUCUUCCUUGUCCAACAUCUACUUCUAAGCAUGUAAUAGUUUAAUGAGUGUUCACAAUCAUAGAUGGUGCCCAAGAUGAUAUAUUUAUAUGUGGACCUCUCCUUCUUUAUUACUUCCUAUUAAUUGCAACAAUGACCAAGGUCUACGUUUGUCCACCCACAACAAGUUUCAAUCAACAUUCUUUUUAUAUGUGAAGCCAUCGCUUCCCAUAAGAUCAUUACAUGAUCUUUCAUGCUUUUGUCCUUUUAUUAUUCUUUUCUUUAGAUCAUGGCAUGAAGCAAGGCCCUUAACUAAAACACUCUUUAUUAUAUGACUCACGAACUCGAAUACAUUGGGGGUAACACAAAGCAAAAAUCAAACCUAGAACAUACUAAGAACUUUAUUCUACUAGAGAAAAAUAAAACCAAAAAGGAUCGAACUAACAAAAAGGUAAACGCAAAAGAUGUGAUGGUGAUAUGAUACCGGGGCAACUCCCCCAAGCUUGGCACAAGCCAAGAGGAGUGCCCAUACCCGUGCUUAGUUGUCUUCCUUCGAAGGUGAUUGUGGUGGAGUUGUUCUGUCUUUUGAUUCCAAGAGGGCCAUCAAUAUUUGAUUUAUACCUUGGAGUUCUGUGAUAUGUUUCUCCAGCAAAACAACAUCACGGGUGAGAUAAGUAUUAUGGAUACGAGUUAUUUCACAUAACCUCAAGAGUUCGAUCAAGGAUGGAGGUAAAAGGUGGAGAUAGGGUUGAAGAAAAUCCUGUUCCUCAGCUUCUUCCUUGUUGAGCACAGAUUGCCCUUCGUCCAACGCCGGAUUCUCCUCCUUAGUUUUGCCCUUAGUUUCUUCAAGCAACCUUUCCUUGGCCUCCAUGACCUCCAUUCUUUUCAGAUCAACACUUACUUCUUCAUAGACUUGAGGGAGAUCGUUCUCCCCGACAGAUUCCUGAGACGACAUCCUUGCCCUAAAUGUGCGGCAAAAACAGGCUCGAAACGAAAACAAAGAAUAUUUGCAAGAUACGAGGGUCAGACCUUCUGGGAGAACGAUCUUGCAAAUACCCUUUGUUUUCGUUUCGAUCUGGCAACGAUCUGGCAAAAACAUCUAGAAAGAAUUUUUCCCGACCAAAAGUAGUACUUCGCAAGAAAACGUAGUCCGGGAGGCACACGAGGUGCCCACAAGCCAUCUAGGCGCGGCCAGGGGAUAGGUUGCGCCUCGCAGGCUUGUCGCCUCCUCGUGCGCUUUCUAGACUACUUUAAUUUUUCUAUUUUUCUAAAAAUUCCAAAACGGAGAAAAAGUGCUACUGGAAAAGUUUUGGAGUCGGUUUACUUACCGAAUCAAAUACUUAUUCGUUUUUGGAGUUCCAACAGGCUGAUAAAUAUCCCUUAUGUACUCCUCCGGAGUUAUGGUAUUAAUAACAUUGCUUUCAACAUUUACGGGAGUACCUGAGAUAUAAUGCUUGAUUGUUUGCCCAUUUACCACUCCCGGAAAAUUACCUUCCGUGUUGUUGAUCUUGAUGGCACCGGAACGAUAUACUUCCUCGACAAUGUAAGGACCUUCCCAUUUAGAGAGAAGCUUGCCUGCAAAAAAAUCUUAAACGAGAAUUGUAUAGCAAGACAUAAUCACCUACAUUGAACUCACGUUUUUGUAUCCUUUUAUCAUGCCACCUCUUAACUUUUUCUUUAAACAACUUGGUAUUUUCAUAUGCCUCAGUCCUCCAUUCAUCAAGUGAGCUAAUAUCAAAUAACCUCUUCUCACCAGCAAGUUUGAAAUCAAAGUUGAGAUCUUUGAUUGCCCAAUAAGCCUCAUGCUCUAGCUCAAGAGGUAAAUGACAUGCUUUACCGUAAACCAUUUUGUACGGAGACAUGCCCAUGGGAUUCUUAUAAGCAGUUCUAUAAGCCCAUAGUGCAUCAUCAAGCUUCUUAGACCAAUUAUUUCUAGAUCUAUUAAUAGUCUUUUGCAGAAUUAGUUUAAUAUCUCUAUAAAUUAGCUCUACUUGACCACUGGACUGAGGAUGAUAGGGAGAUGCAAUUAUAUGGUUGACGUUCUACUUGGCAAGCGUUUUACGGAAAGCACCAUGAAUAAAAUGUGAACUACCAUUAGUCAUUAGAUAUCUAGGGACUCCAAAUCUAGGGAAAAUAACUUCUUUAAGCAUCCUAAUAGAGGUGAUCAACACUACUAGUUGGGAUAGCUUCUACCCACUUAGUAACAUAAUCAACAUCAACUAGGAUAUGAGUAUACCCGUUGGACUUUGGAAAAGGUCCAAUAUAAUCAAAACCCCAAACAUCAAAUGGUUCAAUGACAAGUGAAUAAUUCAUAGGCAUUUCCUGAGGUUUAGUGAUAUUACCUAUUCUUUGACAUUCAUCACAAGACAAUACAAACUUACGGGCAUCCUUGAAGAGAGUAGGCCAAUAGAAACCGGAUUGCAAUAUCUUGUGUGCAGUUCUAUCUCUCGCAUGGUGUCCUCCGUAAGCCUCUGAGUGACACUUCUGUAGGAUCUAUCCCUGUUCAUGCUCAGGUACACAACAUCUAAUAACACCAUCUACUCCAUCCUUAUAAAGGUGAGGAUUAUCCCAAAAGUAAUGUCUCAAAUCAAAGAAGAAUUUCUUCUUUUGUUGGUAUGUGAAACUAGGUGGUAUAUACUUGGCAACAAUAUAAUUUGCAUAAUUAGCAUACCAAGGUGUACUACAUGAAGCAUUGAUGACAUUCAAUUUCUCAUCAGGAAAGCUAUCAUCAAUAGGUUGUGGGUCAUCAAGAACAUUCUCCAACCUAGACAAGUUAUCUGCUACGGGGUUCUCAGCACCCUUCCUAUCAACAACAUGCAAAUCAAAUUCUUGUAGCAAGAGAACCCAUCUGAUAAGUCUAGGUUUAGCAUCUUUAUUUUCCAUGAGAUACUUAAUAGCAGCAUGAUCAGUGUGAAUGGUAACCUAGGAAUCAACAAUGUAAGAUCUGAACUUUUCACAUGCAAACACGAGUGCUAAAAAUUCCUUUUCAGUAGUAGCAUAGUUUCUUUGGGCAUUGUCUAGAGUUUUACUAGCAUAAUGAAUAAUAUUCAAUUUCUUAUCAACUCUUUGCCCUAGAACAACACCAACAACAUAAUCACUAGCAUCACACAUAAUUUCAAAAGGUAAGUUCCAAUCAGAUGGUUGAACAAUAGGUGCAGUUAUCAAGGCCUUCUUAAGUAUUUCAAAGGCUUCCUUAGAAUCAUCGUCAAAAACAAAAGGAAUAUCCUUUUGCAAGAGAUUGGUAAGAGGCCUAGAAAUCUAAGAAAAGUCCUUAAUGAACCUUCUACAGAAACCAAUAUGACCAAGGAAACUUCUUAUACCUUUAAUGUCUGUAGGGCAUUGCAUUUUCUCGAUCGCAUCAACCUUAGCCUUAUCGACUUCAAUACCUCUUUCAGAAAUUUUAUGUCCUAAGACGAUGCCUUCAUUAACCAUAAAGUGGCACUUCUCCCAAUUCAAGACAAGGUUGGUAUCUUUACAUCUCUGGAAAAAUCGAUCAAGGUUGUUGAGGCAAUCAUCAAAAGAAGACUCGUAAACUGAGAAGUCAUCCAUGAAAACCUCAAUAAUCUUUUCACAAAAGUCAGAGAAUAUAGCCAUCAUACAUCUUUGAAAGGUAGCAGGUGCAUUACAUAAGCCAAAAGGCAUACGUCUGUAAGCAAAGGUACCGGAAGGGCAGGUAAAAGUGAUUUUCUCCUGAUCAGAUUGUGCAACAGGUAUUUGAGAGAAACCAGAAUAACCAUCUAGAAAGCAGAAGUGUGUUUGUUUAGACAAUCUUUCUAGCAUUUGGUGAAUAAAAGAUAAAGGGUAAUGAUCUUUCCUAGUGGCUUUAUUCAAUUUCCUAAAAUCAAUCACCAUCCUAUAGCCAGUAAUAAUCCUCUGUGGGAUCAAUUCAUCUUUAUCAUUAGGGACAACGGCAAUACCUCCCUUCUUAGGGAUGCAAUGCACCGGACUUACCCAAUCACUAUGAGCAACAGGAUAGAUAAUAGCUGCUUCCAGGAGCUUUAGUAUUUCUUUCCUUACUACCUCUUUCAUCUUAGGAUUUAAUCUCUGUUGAUGAUCGACAACUGGUUUGGAAUCAGGAUCGGUUUUAGUUUUAUGCUGGCAUAGAGUGGGAAUAAUUCCCUUAAGAUCGUCAAGAGUAUAUUCAAUAGCAGCACGGUGCUUCCUUAGAGUUUUCAACAACUUCUUUUCUUCAUGCUCUGAAAGUCUAGCACUAAUAAUAACAGGAUAUAUCUAUUUUUCAUCGAGAUAAGCAUCCUUAAGAGUAUCAGGUAAUUGUUUAAGCUCAAACAAAGGAUCACCCUUUGGUGGGGGUGGAUCUCCAAGCAGUUCAACAUGCAAAUUAUUCUUAAGGAUAGGAUGUUGUUCAAAGAUAACUCUAUCUAUCUCUUUCCUUUCAUCCAUAUGCAUAUCAUUUUCAUGCUCAAGCAAGUAUUGUUCUACAGGAUCAGUAGGAGGCACAAAAAUAGAAGCUAGAUCAAUAAUUUCAUCCUUACUAGACAGCUCUUUUUCACGAGGUUGUCUACCAAACUUGGAGAAAUUGAACUCAUGUGACACACCUUCAAAGCCACCAGUGGCAAUUUGCUUCUCACAGUCAAUAUGAGCAUUGACAGUAUUGAGGAAAGGUCUACCAAAUAUGAUGGGACAAAAGCUAUCUUGUGUGGUAGCAAGAACGAGAAAAUCAGCAUGAUAUUCAGUUUUACCACACAAGACUUCAACAUCUCUAACAAUUCCCAAAGGGCAGAUAGUAUCUCUAUUGGCAAGCUGAAUAGUGACAUCAAUAGGUUCCAUCUCGACAGGUGCAAUAUCGUCUUUAAUUUCAUCAUAUAAAGAUUGAGGUAUUGCACUAACACUAGCACCCACGUCACAUAAACCAUGAUAACAAUGAUCUCCUAUCUUAACAGAAACAAAGGUGUGCCAACAACAGGCCUAUGUUUGUCUCUAGCAUGAGGUUUAGCAAUUCUAGCAGCAUCUUCACAGAAGUGAAUAUCAUGGCCAUCAACAUUGUCGGACAGGAGAUCUUUGAUAAUAGCAAUGCUAGGUUCAACUCUAAUUUUCUCAUGGGGUGUAGGUGUUCUAAUGUAGCCCCUACGUAUCACAGUUGAAGCUUUAGAAUGAUCCUUUAUUCUAACAGGGAAAGGUGGUUUCUCAAUGUAAGCACUAGGAACAAUAGGAUCAUUAUAAGCAAUGACUUUCUCUUCAACUGGAUUGGGUUUAACCACAUUGACUUCUAAGGGAGGAUGAUAUUUAAACCACUUCUCUUUAGGGAGAUUAAUAUGAGCAGCAAAUGAUUCACAUAAUGAAGCUACUAUCUCAGAGUCAAGUCCAUGUUUAGCGCUAAAAUCACAAAAAGUAUUUGUUUCAACGAAGGAUUUAACGCAAUCGAACAUAAUAUUCAUAACUGACUCCUUACCUUCAUCAAACUCCCAAUCUUCAGAGUUGCAUUUAAUUCUUUCCAAUAAAUUCCAUUUGAAGUCAAUAUCUCUCUUCAUAAAAGAACCGGUACAAGAAGUGUCAAGCAUGGUGCGAUUAUCAUGAGAAAGCUGAGCAUAAUAGUUCUGAAUAAUAAUUUCUCUCAAGAGCUCAUGGUUGGGGCAUGAAUAUAACAUUGACAUAAGCCUCCCCCAAGCUUGAGCAAUACUUUCUCUUUCACGAGGCCAAAAAAUAUAGAAAUAAUUCCGAUCACGAUUGUACCAAAUGCAUAGGAUAAACUUUUGAUGAAAUUCCAAUUUCAAUCGGUUGUAGUUCCAUGAUCCAGUAUCAUCACAUAGCCUAUACCAUGUCAAUGCUUUAUCCCCCAAAGAUAAGGGAAAGACCUUCUUAUUGACCUCAUCCUCGGGCAAACCUCAAGCUUAAAUAAAAAACAUACUUCAUCUACAUAGAUUAGAUGCAAGUCGGGAUGUGAUGUUCCAUCUCGUGUAAAAGGAUUAGCCAACAGUUUCUCUAGCAUACCCGAAGGAAUUCCAUAGAAAAUAUUUUCAAUAGGUGCAGAAGGUUGAGGAGCAACUCCUUGUGCUUCCAUUCGAGGUGAAGAUACCCCGAACAAGCUCCUCAAAGGAUUAGUUUCCAUAGUGACAAGUGACAAUAAAUUUCAGCACACUAUAUAAAUGUUUCCUUACCAAAUUCCACUUACCAAAGGCGCUUCACUCCUCGGCAACGGUGCCAGAAAAGAGUCUUGAUGACCCACAAGUGUAGGGGAUAUAUCAUAGUCCUUUUGAUAAGUAAGAGUGUCGAACCCAACGAGGAGCAGACGGAACUGACAAGUGGUUUUCAGCAAGGUAUUCUCUGCAAGCACUGAAAUUAUUGGUAACACAUAGUUGUGUGAUAAGAUGAUUCGUAGCAAGUAGCAAGUAACAAUAGUGAUAAAGGUGCAGAAAAGUGGCCCAAUCCCUUUUCCAGCAAGGGACAAGCCUGAACAAACUCUUAUAUGAGGGAAAGCGCUCCCGAGGACACAUGGGAAUUUCUGUCAAGCUAGUUUUCAUCAUGUUCAUAUGAUUCGCAUUCGCUACUUUGAUAUGUGGGUGGACCAAUGCUUGGGUUCUGCCCUUACUUGGACAAACGUCCCACUUAUGGUUAACCCCUUUCGCAAGCAUCCGCAACUACGAAAGAAGAAUUAAGACUAAAACUAACCAUAGCAUUAAACUAGUGGAUCCUAAUCAGCCCCUUACGAAACAACGCAUAAACUAGGGUUUAAGCUUCUGUCACUCUAGCAACCCAUCAUCUACUUAUUACUUCCCAAUGCCUUCCUCUAGGCCCAAAUAAUGGUGAAGUGUCAUGUAGUCGACGUUCACAUAACACCACUAGAGGAAAAACAACAUACAACGCAUCAAAAUAUCGAACGAAUACCAAAUUCACAUGACUACUUAUAGCAAGACUUAUCCCAUGUCCUCAGGAACAAAAGUGACUACUCACAAAGCAUAAUUAUGUUCAUGACCAGAGAGGUAUUGAAUAGCAUUAGAGAUCUGAACAUAUGAUCUUCCACCGAGUAAUCCAACUAGCAUCAACUACAAAGAGUAAUUAACACUACUAGCAACCUUACAAGUACCAAUCGGAAUCGCGAGACGGAGAUUGGUUACAAGAGAUGAACUAGGGUUUGGAGAUGAGAUGGUGCUGAUGAAUAUGUUGAUGGUGAUGAGUCCCCUCCGAUGAGAGGAGUGUUGGUGAUGACGAUGGCGACGAUUUCCCCCUCCGGGAGGGAAGUUUCCCCAGCAGGACGGCCCUGCCGGAGCUCUAGACUGGUUCUGUUCAAGUUCCGCCUGUGGCGGCGGCGAUUCCUCCCGAAAGCCUACUCUUGAUUUUUUAUGGAACGAAACCCUCCUUAUAGGAAAGAUGGGAGCCAAAGGGGCAACAGGGGCCCCAUAAGCCACCGAGGCGCGACCAGGGGGUAGGUCGCGCCUGGUAGGCUUGUGGCCUCGUGCUGGCUCCCCUCCGGUACUUCUUCUGCCCAGUAUUUUUUAUAAAAUCCAAAAUAAUCCCUUAUUGAUUUUCACGGCUUUUGGAGUUGCGCAGAAUAGGUAUCUCAAACUUGGUCCUUUUUCAGACCAGAAUUCCAGCUGCCGGCAUUCUCCCUCUUCAUGUAAACCUUAUAAAAUAAGAGAGAAAAGGCAUAAGUAUUGUACCGUAAAGUGUAAUAACAGCCCAUAAGGCGAUAAAUAUCAACAUAAAAGCAUGAUGCAAAAUGGACGUAUCACUAACCCCGACUGAUGCUCUUUUCAGCAGAAUUGCCAUGGUGUUGUUUUUGCGCAGAAAUAAAUGUUCUCGGAAUGACCUGGAAAUUUACGAGGAUUUUUGGUGGAAUAUAUAAAAAAUAUUGGCGCAAGAAUUACCUGGAGGGACGGAGCCAGGAGCCCACAAGCCCAGGAGGCGCGGGUCCCCCUGGCCGCGCCUGGCAGGCUUGUGAGGCCCUCGUGGCUCCGCCGCCUCCAACUUCAGCUCUAUAUAGUCUCUCUCGCCCAGAAAAAAUUAGGAGAGAAGAGUUCAUCGCGUUUCACGACACGGAGCCACCGCCACCGCCUGUUCUUCCUCUGGAGGGCAGAUCUGGAGUCCGUUCUGGGCUCCGGAGAGGGGAGAUCGACACUGUCAUCAUCAUCAACCAUCCUUCAUCGCCAAUUCCAUGAUGCUCUUCACCGUUCGUGAGUAAUCUCAUCGUAGGCUUGCUGGACGGUGAUGGGUUGGAUGAUAUCUAUCAUGUAAUCGAGUUAGUUUUGAUGGGGUUUGAACCCUAGUUUCCACUAUGUUCUGAGAUUGAUGUUGCUACUUCUUUGUUAUGCUUAAUGCUUGUCACUAGGGCCCGAGUGCCAUGAUUUCAUAUCUGAACCUAUUAUGUUUUCAUCAAUAUAUGUGUGUUCUUGAUCCUAUCUUGCAAUUUGUAGUCACCUACUAUGUGUUAUGACCCGGCAACCCCGGAGUGACAAUAGCCGGUACCACUCCCGGAGAUGACCAUAGUAUGAGGAGUUCAUGUAUUCACUACGUGCGAAUGCUUUGUUCGGGUUCUCUAUUAAAAGGAAACCCUAAUAUCCCGUAGUCUCCAUUAGGACCCCGCUGCCAUGGGAGGGAUGGACAAUAGAUGUCAUGCAAGUUCUUUUGCAUAAGCACGUAUGACUAUAUACGAAAUACAUGCCUACAUUACAUUGACGAACUGGAGCUAGUUACAUAUCACCCUAUGUUAUAACUGUUACAUGAUGAAUGUCAUUCGACAUAAUUAUCCAUCACCGAUCCAAUGCCUACGAGUUUUUCCUACCGGUCCUUGCUAAGUUACUAUACCGCUACUGUUGUCACUGCUGCUACUGUUACCGCUACUGCUGUCACUACGACUACUGUUACCGCUGUUACCGUUACUAUCACGCUACUUUGCUACUAAAACUUUGCUGCAAAUACUAAGUCUUUCAGGUGUGGUUGAAUUGACAACUCAACUGCUAAUACUCGAGAAUAUUCUUUUGCUUCCCCUUGUGUCGAAUCAACAAAUUUGGUAUGAAUACUCUACCCUCGAAAACUGUUGCGAUCCCCUAUACUUGUGGGUUAUCACUGGCAUGCUGUGACAACUUGGGUAGUGCGGACCAUUACAGGGACGAGCUGCUGUCGUCGGCAAGCCACCAGAGCUGCCAGGGCCGAAGCACUACGUGACACAGGGGCGACGACCAUUGGUCAGGUCUUGGCGCGGUGUUGCGCGGCCCUAGAAGGUAGCCAAGGGGCACGGGUAGAAGGACGUGACUGCUCAGGCGAGCGCAUGCAAAACGUGCGCUCUAGCCACGCACAGAGCACGCACAACACCCGUUCGACAGAUUUCCUGACAUAUCCAACCGUCUACAAUGCUGCUCAAACUCAAGAGGGUUAGUUUAGGUGGCAAGAAAAGGUUUCAAGACAUCCUAGUUUGACUAUACAAGCAAGUCCACCAUGCAAAGCUAAAACUAUGCCAAAUCUGCCUAUGCACAGAAGGUGUUCUACAGGAGGUUAAAGGCAUCAAAAUGAUUUUUUUAGUGGACAAAAACUCCAGAUCAGGGUCUCUUUAGGUGCUGGUAAAGAUGGUAGGGUUAGUUUGAGAAAAGAAGAAAUUUGUUGGUACAAAUUUUGGAGAAAAUCUUUUGUGGUCAGAAUCUUAGGGGCAUUAAAGCAUGGGCUAAAUUUAUCCCAAAGGCUCACAUCUCUUGGACUUAAGGGUGUGGUAGGCUCUACUACAAGUGGUAAAAAUCUCAACUCGAUUGGGGCAAUUUAAAAUAGGGAUGUAGUUCAAAAGAGCAAACUGGACGAGAAUGCAAAAGAGGUCAUGCUGCUCAAAGUUUUCAAAGGGCAGCUAUGGGUUUGUGCAUGAAGUGAGUCUCAUGCAUCCCUUGACAUCUCCAAAUUUUUGUGGAGUUUUUAAAAUAAUUUAUAAAAGGGUUGCAGUGCAAAUGAGUUUCUUAAAGAAGGAAAAAGUCUUUUAAAAGAGUUUAAAUUGGCAAGCUUUAUUAGAAAAAAUAUUCCCAUUAAAUUAAAUAAAAGAAAUAAAAUUAUCACAAGAAAUGACUUAAGCACACAAUGAUCUUCAAACUGCCACUUAAAAAUAAAAGGAUUUUGGAAAGGGGCUCUAAAAUAAGCAAUGGAAUAAUUUAUAUUUGAAAAUUUCAUUCUAGGCAAUAUUUUAAUUUAUAAAAAUAUGAUUAAAUUUUUGGGGCGUAACAAAAGGAUUUAGGGUACCUAGGGCUACAAUGGAUAUGAAAUUGGAGAUCAAAUGCCAAAUGAAUCUAUUAGUUCCUUUGUAAAUUUCUCGGGGUCAAGUGAUUACAGAAAAUGGUUUUGAUUAAAAACAGGAAAGGUAGUUGAACUACCUCAUAACUUUAAGAAUCUUCUUUUAAAUGAUGCCCUAAUGUUAGAGGGAAGUCAGGGUCAAGAAUUUAGUGAGAGAGGAAGAGAUAAAAUUUUUAGGGCAAAACUAAGUUUGCGAAAUAUCUCACACAAACCAUUAAAGAAUUUUCGAAAGAAGGGAGAGGGAUUUUCCAGUGGAAAAUCUUGGUAAAGAGGGGAAAUAAAGUAAGACUCUUUCCGAACCAGAAGUGUUGACAAGGAAAACCCAAGAAAAUUUGUCUCAAGGUAAAAAUUUCAAGAAGAUUCCAAAAGAUGUUUUUGUCAAAAUUUUGGAAAUUCACUUUAAAAAUAAAUGAAAUAAGAAAAUUCCAAAUUGAAAAUUUGAGGAUUUUACAUCAGCUCUCCAUUGCACGACGACCUACAACAGUAACACAUGUGCGCCCCUCUUCUGCUACCAGCACUAGAGUCGUGCCACUCUUCCAUGCUUCCUACAAGCACCGGAGAUGUGCCAAUUACGACUGGCAAUUACAAUGCUGGUAAACUUGUUCUCAAAGAUAACUUUGCCAUAUUCCAUUUCUAAUAUUUUAGGGCUGAUGCAUAGUACUUUCUAUUUUCUAUGAAUGAAGGGGAGUGGUGGGCAACUUAUGGACUACAAACUCCCACAUUGAUGCACAUGGCUUUGAGGAUACUGAACUUAACCACAAGUUCAUCUAGUGCGAAAGAAAUUGGAGAGUUUUUUCACAAGUAAGACUCAACUUGCAAAUAUUCAAUUGUGAUCCUUAUUUCAUUCAUGACAAGAUGUGAAUCACUAACCUUCACUAUGCACUUUGUAGGUAGAUGCAAAGAGCAGAAAUAAAUUAGAUGUGUGUCAUAGGGACUAUCUAGUUUACAUUUAUUUCAAUGUAAGAUUUCUAGACAAGAUAAAGAAAUAAUACUCAUCUUGUGAUGUUCUACUUGGUGAAUAUGCAUCCACAACCCAAGAUUGGAUAUGUGAAUAUGCUUACGAUUAUGAAGAGAUGGGAGCUAUCGGAGUUGACAAUACAAAAGAGCCACGUAGAAGUCUAAGGGUGAGAGAACUCCAUGAAGUGGAAGACUUUGUUUCCAGUGAUGAAGAUGACACUGUGCCUAUCAAUGCAGAUGAGAUAGAUUUUGAGUGUGAUUAUGAUAUGGCUCGGGUGAUAGAAGAAAUUGAUGAGGAAGACCUGAUGCAGCCUUGAGUCAUAGGCCUUUUAACAAUCUCAUUCCUAGUACCGUGUGUGUUUGCUAGCAGCCUAAUGCUUUAUUUUGGUUCUGAAUUGUUAGAGAAUUAUAGGGCUAAGAACUACCUUAUUUUGGUUGAUUGGUGUUUCACCGUUUGCUAGCAAAGUAGUAACUAGUAAGACUAAGAAGUUGAAAUAGAAGUGUAGAACUAAGAUUAUUUGUGUAUUCUGGACAUGUUAUGUUUUGUUGUGUUGUCUAUUCAGUAUCCACCAUGAUACUAUAUCAGUUUAUUUGUGGAUUAAGACUAAUAUAUUUAUAUAUGUACUGCAACCUAUCUACUGUCUCCGUUUAUUUGUGGACCCAUAUAGUUAUGUAGUUAUGUACUGUCGUUCUGCCUAUUGUUGCUUGUUAUGUAAAUGAGUAAAUCUAUGCACUCUUAUCCUAUUUGAAAAUGCCCAAACAAGAUAUGUGUUGUUUAAGUGUUGUCCAAUUUUUAUUUGUUAUGUCAUAUUGUAGUAUCCAUGUACUCCUAUCAUAUUUGAAUUUCAAACAUGCAAAAACAUGACAUGUGUUGUUGUUAUAUAUUGAUGUUGUGUUAAAAGCUUAGAGUGCAUACUUGUUGAUUGUUUACAAUUUUGCCUUAUUAAUUAGUGCUUGAAAAUGUCGGUCUUGAAAGAAAACUUAUCGAUUAAUAGCCGACCGAUAAAAUUGAUUAAUCGGUUGAUUUCCCGAUUAAUCUCUAAUCCCCAACCGAUCGAGACGGUAAUGACAAGCGAUAUCCCAAACAUUGUUGACGCCGAGGACAAACGCAUGUGCUAACCUACGGCAAGCAAGGCAUAGGCAUUGUCCUCCUUCACGAACGAGCCUGCCGACGACCACUUCUUCCCCUGCUGUCACGGCGUGCUCCGGGGCGAGGAGCUCCUCAUUCACCUCUCAACACUGCAUGGUGUGGAGGUAGAGCUCUUGGUCGAGGUGAUGGAAGUUGGCCCAAGGGGGCCAACCUCUACUGUAAGAGAGGCGGCCGCGCUCCCGCGCUUGCUUGGACCGCCAGGCCUCGAUCGCGAGAGGGGGAGUUACCAGCCUCCACGUUGUUAUGCGAGAUCUUGCGUCGCAGCUACCCGCCACGACCAUGGCCACCAUGCCCCGCGUGCAGAACCCGCCAUUGCUCGCGCAAAAAAGGAACUACGUGAGGUGGAAUUUCUUGCCAAAGAUAGGAAGGGAGAUAUCUUAGGAGGUGGAUCACGAGGAGCUUUCAUGGUAUGUCUACCCCUUUUAUCUUAAUGAUGAUUGGCUUGCACAACUACUUACUUUUAUGUGAAAAAAUCGCAUAAAGUUGUUAUUUUUUCAAUACUUUAAAUUUAGUGUUCUUAUUUGGGUUAAGAUAGUGGGUCAAUGUAGCUAGCGUUCUUAUUAAUAGUUAAUUUCCUUGAUCUUAGUGUAAGUAGCACAUGUUUACUCAUUAUUUUGGCCGUCUCACUGAUUUUCUCGCUUUGUCAUAUAUUGUCGGUGUACUAAAGAGCGGGUCCGUUAGUACCCUGACUUGUGCACAAACGGCAACAACCUUUGGCCCAACAAGCCUUGGCGGGAAGAUACUGCGUUGAGGAAAACAUCAAGCAACAAGGCGAAGCCAUCGACAAGCCUCCUUCCCAAUGAAGAAGACCUGACAACAAUCUCAGCCAUCGACAAGCCUCCUUCCCAGCAUGGCCCCACUACCACACCACCGCUCCACCUCAUAGGGCUGAUUGUCGUCGUCAAUGAGGUGUCGAGCAGGCAGGCUGUUAGGUAGGCCUUGUCGAGGCACGUGGUAGCUCAAGGGAAUUACAACAACUUUAAUGACACCCGUCCUAACGAAGUGGUGGGAUAAUAAGAGGUAGCCGGGCGAACGACUCAGAAGUAGAGGCAAUCCUUGUCGAGGAGCGACGCAAGCACGAAGCCUCACGAUGCAUUUAAUGCCUCCAUCCUAAUUCGCCAGGGUUAGGUAUUUCCCAAUGUAGUUUGUGUUGGUAGUUUGACCACUGUUUACUCUUGUAUAUGUACCAUUUUAGCCAUUGUGGUAAGCCCUUUUGCCUAUAAAAGAAGGUUCAUGGCUACCUUUACAAGGGUCAAAACCAUGUUCAAUUGAGUGUGUGGUAGUGAUGACCCACAGGUAUAGGGGAUCAAUCGUAGUCCUUUCGAGAAGUAAGAGUGUCGAACCCAACAAGGAGCAGAAGGAUUUGACAAGUGGUUUUCAGCAAGGUAAUAUCUGCAAGCACUGAAAUUAUCGGUAACAAGUGAUUGUAUGGUGAGGUGAUUCGUAGCAAGCAACAAGUAACAAAAGUAGAAACGGUGCAGCAAAGUGGCCCAAUCCCUUUUGUAGCAAGGGACAAGCCUGGACAAAGUCAUAUAGGAGGAAAAACGCUCCACAGGACACACGGGAAUUUCUUUCAUGCUAGUUUUCAUCAUGUUCAUAUGAUUCGCGUUCGUUACUUUGAUAGUUUGAUAUGUGGGUGGACUGGCGCUUGGGUACUGCCCUUACUUGUACAAGCAUCCCACUUAUGAUGAACCCCUCUCGCAAGCAUCCGCAACUACGAAAUAAGAAUUAAGACAAAGUCUAACCAUAGCAUUAAACUAGUGGAUCCAAAUCAGCCCCUUACGAAGCAACGCAUAAACUAGGGUUUAAGCUUCUGUCACUCUAGCAACCCAUCAUCUACUUACUACUUCCCAAUGCCUUCCUCUAGGCCCAAAUAAUGGUGAAGUGUCAUGUAGUCGACGUUCACAUAACACCACUAGAGGAAAAACAACAUACAACACAUCAAAACAUCGAACGAAUACCAGAUUCACAUGACUACUAUUAGCAUGACUUAUCCCAUGUCCUCAAGAACAAAAGUAACUAGUCACAAAGCAUAAUCAUAUUCAUGACCAGAGAGGUAAUGAGUAUCAUCAAGGAUCUGAACAUAAACUCUUCCACCAAAUAAUCCAACUAGCAUCAACUACAAGGAGUAAUUAACACUACUAGCAACCUUACAAGUACCAAUCGGAGUCGUGAGACGGAGAUUGGUUACAAGUGAUGAACUAGGGUUUGGAGAUGAGAUGGUGCUGAUGGAGAUGUUAAUGGUGACGAGUGCCCUCCGAUGAGAGGAGUGUUGGUGAUGACGAUGGCGACGAUUUCCCCCUCCGUGAGGGAAGUUUGCCCGGUAGGAUCGUCCUGCCGGAGCUCUAGAUUGGUUCUGCUCAAGUUCCGCCUCGUGGCGGCGGCGAAUCCUCCGAAAAGCUCCCUUCUAAUUUUUUUUCGACGAAACCCUUCAUAUAGCAAAAGAUGAGCGCCGUAGGGGCAAGAAGGGGCCCCCAAGGCCCCCAGGCCCUGCCAGGGGGGUAGGCCGGGCCUUGCAGGCUUGUGGCCUCCAGGUGGCGCCCCUCUGGUACUUCUUCCGCCCAGUAUUUUUUAUAUAUUCCCAAAAAAUUCCACGUUGAUUUUCACGGCUUUUGGAGUUGCGCAGAAUAGGCAUCUCGAACUUGCUCCUUUUUCACGCGAGAAUUCCAGCUGCCGGCAUUCUCCCUCUUCAUGUAAACCUUGCAAAAUAAGAGAGGAAAGGCAUAAGUAUUGUACCUUGGAGUGAAAUAACAGCCCAAAAAGCGAUAAAUAUCAACAUGAAAGCAUGAUGCAAAAUGGACGUAUCAACUCCCCCAAGCUUAGACCUCGUUUAUCCUCAAGCAAAAGCCUAGCUCAAUAAAUAUGUCCACAUGUUUAGGGAGAGAGGUGUCGACAAAACAAGAUACGAACAUGCAGGCAUCAUGAUCAUGAUUAGAACAGCAAUACCAACAUAUAAUCUCUCAUGCUAAAGUGACAAAUUCUUCACAAAGUAAAGCAUGGAUCAAGAACCUUACCGAGAAUCAACAACCGAUAGCCUUUAGUCAUUGAAGCAAUUGCAAUUUAUCACAACAUCAGAAAGAGUCAAAUAAGAGCUUGUAAGGAAAAUCCACAUACUCAAUCAUCUUUUCGUUCUCUACAAUUGCUACUACUCACGUGGUACUCAUGAGAUUAAAGUUUCAGCUGGACACAGAGAAAGAUAGGGGCUUAUAGUUUUGCCUCCCAACUGUUUACCUCAAGGGUAAUGUCAACAAUAAUAAUUCAUGAAUACUUACCUCCAAGUUGACAUAUGAAUAUAGAUCUUUCCCUAGCAUGUGACGUUAGCCAAGAUAAAGGCGAAACAAGGAAUUGGUGCAGAUCACCAUGACUCUUUCAAGGGCAAAAAGUAAAGGUACAAGAUAGGCCCUUCGCAGAGGGAAGCAGAGGUUGUCAUGCGCUUUUGAGGUUUGGAUGCGUGUCCUCUUAGUGCGGAGGAACGUCACUCUAUAUUGCCUCAUGUGAUAAAGAACUUUAUUAUGGAGUCUGUCGCUUUUAUGUCUUCCUCAUCACAAGUUCGUACAAAGCUUAUUUUCCACACACUAAUAGAUCAUACAUAUUAGGGAGGAAUUUUUUAUUGCUUGCACCGAUGACAACUAAGUUGAAGGAUCUUAUUCAAUCCAUAGGUUGGUAUGAUUAAUUCUCAUGGUGAAACUGGGUUGAAGGUAUGUGGAUGCACAAGUAUUAUCUCUACUUGGUGCGGGAGUUUUGUCUAAUAUGAGGUGGAAGCAAUCGUCACAUGCUAUGGGAUCUCUAAUCAUAUAACAUUGUUUGGAACCAAGCAAACACAAUUCAUUAUGUUUUCUUCUGAUACGUCUCAAACGUAUCUAUAAUUUUUGAUGGUUUCACGCUGUUAUCUUGUCUUCUUUGGUUGUUUUAUGUACCUUUUAUACCUUUUUUGGGACUAACUCAUUAAUUCAGUGCCAAGUGUCAGUUCCUAUUUUUUCCGUGUUUUUGACUCUAUCUAGAUCUGAUUUUGGAACGGAGUCCAAACGGAAGAAAAACCCCGAAAAUGAUUUUUUCCCGAACGGAAGAAGAUCACGGGACUUUUGGGCCAAGCCAGGUGGGCUCUAGGGAGCCCACAAGCCCCCACUCCGCCACCAGGGGGAGGCGGCGGUGGGCAGGCUUGUGGCCUCCCUCGCCACCCCCUGACCUAGGUCUUUGGCCUAUAAAUUCCCAAAUAUUUUGCAAAAAAUCAGGGGAGCCUCGAAAAUACUUUUCCACCGCUGCAAGCUUUCGUUUCCGCGAGAUCUCAUUUGGAGACCCUUCCCAGCGCCCUGCCGGAGGGGACUUUGGAGUUGGAGGGCUUCUUCAUCAUCAUCAUCGCCCCUCCAAUGACUCGUGAGUAGUUCACUUCAGACCUACGGGUCCGUAGUUAGUAGCUAGAUGGCUUCUUCUCUCUCUUGGAUCUUCAAUACAAAGUUCUCCAUGAUCUUCAUGGAGAUCUAUCCGAUGUAAUCUUCUUUGGCGGUGUGUUUGUCGAGAUCCGAUGAAUUGUGGAUUUGUGAUCAGAUUAUCUAUGAUAUAUAUUUGAGUCUUUGCUUAUUUCUUAGAUGCAUGAUUUGAUAUCCUUGUAAGUCUCUCCGAGUCUUGGGUUUUGUUUGGCCAACUAGAUCUAUGAUUCUUGCAAUGGGAGAAGUGCUUGGUUUUGGGUUCUACCAUGUGGUGACCUUUCCCACUGACAGUAGCGGCAGCAAGGCACACAUCAAGUAGUUGCCAUCAAGGGUAAAAAGAUGGGGUUUUUAUCAUUGGUUUGAUAUUAUACCUCUAGAUCAUGUCAUCUUGUUUAAGGCGUUACUCUGUUCUUAUGGACUUAAUACACUAGAUGCAUGCUGGAUAGCGGUCGACGCGUGGAUUAAUAGUAGUAGAUGCAGAAAGUAUUGGUCUACUUGUUUCGGACGUGAUGCCUAUAGAAAUAAUCAUUGCAUAGAUAUCGUCAUGACUUUGCACGGUUCUAUCAAUUGCUCGACAGUAAUUUGUUCACCCACCGUCUACUUUCUUUUAUGAGAGAAGCCACUAGUAAACACUAUGACCCCCGGGUCUAUUCACAUCCAUCGUUUACACCUCCGCUUUUACUUUGCUUUGUUACUUUGUUGCUUUCAGUUCUCAGUUGGCAAACAAUCUAUAAGGGAUUGACAACCCCUUCAUAGCGUUGGGAGCAAGUUUUUGUGUUUGUGCAGGAUCUUGAGAUACUCCUCCACUGGAUUGAUACCUUGGUUCUCAAACUGAGGGAAAUACUUACCACCGUCGUGCUACAUCACCCUUUCCGCUUCGAGGGAACACCAACGCAAGGCUCCAAGGCCACGGGGGAAAUCAUUUUCAUACUUGCCUAGGAAGUCCCUUAAGGCAUAGCCGCAGCAGAUGUAUCAAGCCAAGUAUCCUCCCGUCGACGUGCCUAUUGCUGGUGCCAUUGGAAGGUCUUUUAUUGCAGUAACAGAAGUAUUUCUGACGCCGUUGCAAGGGAAGCACAGCUGAUAUGAGAAGUAUUUCUGGCGCCGUUGCCGGGGAGGAGAAAUCAAGAUCUAUCCAAGUAGGUCUCAUAAACUCUUCUCUUGCAUUUACUUUUGUUGCCAGUUGCCUCUCAUUUUCCUCUCCCCCACUUCACAUUUGUCGUUUUCAUUCGCCUUUCUCCUUCGCCGUUUUCUUUCGCCCUUGCCGUUUUCCUUUGCUGGUUUCUUGCUUGCUUGUGUGCUUGUUUGUUUGUUGAAGACAUCAUGUCUAAAACACCAAACUUUGCGACUUCUCGAGCACUAAUAAUAAUAAUUUUAUUUGUACUCCGAUUGCUCCCGCCACUAGUGCGAAAUCGUAUGAAAUAAACGCAGCUUUGCUGAAUCUGUUAUGAAAGAGAAAUUCUCCGGCCUUCCUAGUGAAAAUGCCGCAUCCCAUCUCAAUACCUUCAUUGAGAUUUGCGAUAUGCAAAAUAAAAGAGAUGUGGAUAAUGACGUGAUUAAGUUGAAACUUUCUUCCUUUCUCGUUGCGAGAUCGCACAAAAACUUGGUUUUCUACUUUGCCUAAAAAUAGUAUCGAUUCUUGGGAUAGGUGCAAAGAUGCUUACAUAUCCAAGUAUUUUCCGCCGGCUAAGAUCAUCUCCUUACGUAAUGAUAUCAUGAAUUUCAAGCAACUUGAUCAUGAACGCGUUGCACAAUCUGGGGAGAGGAUGAAACUUAAGAUUAGAAAUUGUCCCGCUCAUGGCUUGAGUUUGUGGAUGAUUAUACAAAUCUUUUACGCUGGCUUGAAUCUUGCUUCUCGCAAUAUCUUGGACUCCGCCUCAGGUGGAAUGUUCAUGGAAAUCACGUUAGGAGACGCUACAAAACUCCUAGACAAUAUCAUGACCAACUACUCUCAGUGGCACACUGAAAGGUCGCCUGCUAGCAAAAAGGUGCACGCUAUAGAAGAGAUUAACUCGCUUAGUGCUAAGAUACACGAGUUGAUGAAUUUAGUUGCUAGUAGAAACGCUACCGUAGAUCCUAAUGACAUGCCACUAUCUUCUUUGAUUGAGAGUAGCAACGCUAGUUUGGACGUGAAUUUUGUUGGUAGGAACAAUUUUGGCAACAACAAUGCUUUUAGAGGAAACUAUGUUCCUAGGCCUUUUCCUAGUAACUCCUCUAACAAUUGUGGCAAUUCCUACGGCAACACUUGUGGAAAUCACAACAAAUUACCCUCUGAUUUAGAGAGUAAUAUCAAAGAGUUCAUUAACUCUCAAAAGAUUUUCAAUGCAUCCAUAGAGGGAAAACUACUCAAAAUAGACGAUUUGGCUAAGAGCGUUGAUAGGAUGUCUUGUGAUAUUGAUGCUUUGAAAUUUAGAUGCGCUCCUCCCAAGAUCAACUUGGAUGAAACUUUGAAAGCUAUGCGUAUCUCCAUGAAUGAGAGCAAAGAAAGAACCGCCCAAAUUCGAGCUAGACAUGAAUGGUUUAAAAGGGUGCGUUCUAGUGAUGCAAAUCACGAAGAUCUUAAAGUGCUUGGUGUGUCUCCCCUUGAAUCUUUGUUUUCGCGUGUCAAACCUACUUAUGGAGGGGCUGGAUAUGAAGCCACUUUGGUUGAAAAACACCCCAAUGAUUCGGAGUCCACCUAUCUUGAUGAUAAAGGUGUGGAGAGUGGAGUAGAAGAAGUCAAAAUUUUGGGUAGUAAUGAAACUCCCACUUUGGAUUUCAAGGAAUUCAAUUAUGAUAAUUUCUGCUUGUUUGAAUGCAUUUCUUUGAUGCAAUCCAUUGCAAACUCUUCACAUGCUUAUAGCCAAAGCAAAGCCUUUACCGCGCAUAUCGUAGAUGCUAUGAUGAAAUCUCUUGAAGAGAAGCUCGAACUAGAAGUCUCUAUACCUAGAAAACUUCAUGAUGAGUGGGAACCUACUAUCAAAAUCAAGAUCGAAAACUAUGAGUGCAAUGCUUUGUGUGAUUUGGGUGCUAGUGUUUCCGCGAUUCCAAAUUCUUUAUGUGAUAUUCUUGGUUUUCAUGAGAUUGAAGAGUGUUCUCUUAAUUUGCAUCUUGCGGAUUCUACUGUCAAAAAACCCAUGGGGAGGAUCGAUGAUGUUCUUAUUGUUGAAAAUAAGAACUAUGUACCCGUGGAUUUCAUUGUACUUGACAUAGAUUGCAAUCCUUCAUGUCCCAUUAUUCUUGGUAGACCUUUCCUAAGGACUAUUGGUGCUAUCAUCGAUAUGAAGGAAGGGAAUAUUAGAUUUCAAUUUCCUUUAAAGAAGGGCAUGGAGCACUUUCCUAUAAAGAAAAUAAGAUUGCCCUAUGAAUCUAUGAUGAGGGCUACUUAUGGUUUGAGCACCAAAGAUGACUAUACGUGAUUCCAUCACUUUCGCCUAGCUAAGGGCGUUAAACAAAAGCGCUUGUUGGGAGGCAACCCAACGAAUCUAUCCUUUUUCUUUAUGUUUUGUGUUUUCCACACUUUCAUAAUUCUGUUAUGAUUGUGUCUUUUGUGUUUCUUUUUGCGUUUGUGCCAAGCAAAACCGUUAUGAUUAGUCUUGGGGAUGAUCGUUUGGUCAUGUUGGAAAAGACAGAAAGUUUCUGCUGACGAAAAGAAUUUUCAUUUUUGUUAUGUAAGAGCUAUCGAAUUGAUUCUUUUUGCUGCUGAUUUCAAAGCAAAUUAUUCAGACUUUCGUAAUGUUUCAGAAUUGUUGAAGUACUAGAGGUAUGCGAAAUAUACAGAUUGCUACAGACUGGUCUACUGUUAACAUAUUCUGUUUUUGUUGUGUUGGUUGCUUAUUUUGAUGAAACUAUGGAUAGUAUCGGGGGGUAUUAGCCGUGGAAGAUUGAAAGUACAGUAACCCAACAUCAGCACAAGUAGAAUUUAAGUUUACUACAGUACCUAAGGAAGUGGUGGUUUGCUUUCUUGUACUAAUGUUAUCACGAGUUUCUGUUUAAGUUUCGUGUUGUGAAGUUUUCAAGUUUUGGGUGAAGUUCUUAUGGACAAAGAGAUAAAGAGUGGCAAGAGAUCAAGAUUGGGGAUUCCCAAGGCACCCCAAGAGAUUCAAGGAUGUCGUACAAGCCUAAGCUUGGGGAUGCCCCGGGAAGGCAUCCCCUCUCUCGUCUUCAAUCCAUCGGUAACGUUACUUGGGGCUAUAUUUUUAUUCACCACAUGUUAUGUGUUUUUGCUUGGAGUGUCUUGUAUCGUAGGAGUCUUUUAUUUUUGUUGUGUCACAAUCAUCCUUGAUGCACACCUAGAGAGAGAGAGACAUGCACACACCGUGAUUUUGUCGAGCUUUACUUAUACUUUUGGUAGACAAUUCAGCUCACAUGUGCUUCACUUAUAUCUUUUGAGCUAGAUACUUUUGCUCUAUGUGCUUCACUUAUAUAUUUUAGAGCGCAGCGGUGCGUGGCUUGGUAGUUGAUCUAUGCUUUGAAAGUAGUCUCAAAAGGGGUAUUUAUCCAUAGGGAUACGAAAACUUCCACCUUCAUGUGCAUUGAAUAGUUAGAUAAGUUUGAUUCAUCUCAAUUAGUUUUGAGUUGUGGUUAUGGUAAUAUUGAAGUCAUGCUAGUAAGGUGUUGUGGAUCUAGAAAUAAUUGUGUUGAAGUUAGUGAUUCCCGUAGCAUGCACGUAUGGUGAACCGCUAUGUGAUGAAAUCUGAGCAUGAUUAGUAUAUUGAUUGUCAUCCUUUGCGUGGCGGUCGGGGUCACACGAUGAUUUAUACCUACCAACCCUUCCCCUAGGAGUAUGCGUUGAAUGCUUUGUUUCGAUUACUAAUAAAACUUUUGCAACAAGUAUAUGAGUUCUUCAUGACUAAUGUUGAGUCCAUGGUUUAGAUGCACUUUCACCUUCCAGCAUCACUAUCUUCUUAGUGCCGUGCAACUUUCGCCGGUGCACAAAACCCACCAUUAGCCUCCCUCAAAACAGCCACCAUACCUACCUAUUAUGGCUUUUUCAAAGUAAUACCGAGAUAUAUUGCCAUGCAACUACCACCAUCACAUGUGCCACCACGUCUACUUUGCCUUUGCAUGAUCGUAAGAUAGCUAGCAUGAUGUUUCCAUUGAUGUCUAUGCCAUGCUAGAUCAUUGCCACGGUACACUACCGAAGUCAUAGUUGCUCUAAGUUUUGAGUUGAAAGUGUGAUGAUCAUCAUUAAUGGAGCAUUGUCCCAUGUGAGGAAAUAAAAGAGGCCAAAUAAGCCCAUAAAAAAGAGGCCAAAGAGCCCACCAAAAUAAAAAAAAUGAGAGAAAAAGAGAGAAGGGACAAUGCUACCACUUUUUCCACACUUGUGCAUAUUAAGCACCAUGAUCUUCAUGAUUGAGAGUCUCUCUUUUUGUCACCACCAUAUAGCUAGUGGGGAAUUUUCAUUAUAUAACUUGGCUUGUAUAUUCCAAUGAUAGGCUUCCUCAAAAUUGCCUUAGGUCUUCGUGAGCAAGCAAGUUGGAUGCACACCCACUAGUUUUCUUUAAGAGCUUUCACAUACUCAUAGCUGUAGUGCUUCAUUUGUAUGGCAAUCCCUACUCAUUCACAUUGAUAUCUAUUGAUGAGCAUCUCCACAGCUCAUUGAUAUGCCUAGUUAAUGUGACUAUCUUCUCCUUUUUUUUGUCUUGCAACCUCCACUACAUUCCACACCAUCUAUAGUGCUAUAACCAUGGCUCACGCUCAUGUAUUGCGUGAGAGUUGAAAAUGUUUGAGAAAGUAAAGGUGUGAAACAAUUACUUGGCCAAUACCGGGGUUGUGCAUGAUUUAAAUUCGUUGUGCAAUGAUGAUAGAGCAUAGCCAGACUAUAUGCUUUUGUAGGGAUAACUUUCUUUUGGCCUUGUUAUUUUGAAAGUACAUGAUUACCUUGCUAGUUUGCUUGAAUUAUUAUUGUUUCCACGUCAAUAGCAAACUAUUGUUUUGAAUCUAAUGGAUCUGAACAUUCACGUCACAUAAGAGGAAUUACAAAGUACACCUAUGCUAGGUAGCAUGAAAGCAUCAAAAAUUCAUUCUUAUCACUUCCCUACUCGAGGACGAGCAGGAGUUAAGCUUGGGGAUGCUUGAUUUGUCUCAAACGUAUCUAUAAUAUUUGAUGGUUUCACGCUGUUAUCUUGUCUUCUUUGCUUGUUUUAUGUACCUUUUAUAUCUUUUAUGGGACUAACUUAUUAAUUCAGUGCCAAGUGCCAGUUCCUGUUUUUUCCGUGUUUUUGACUCUUUUCAAAUCUGAUUUUGGAACGGAGUCCAAACGGAAGAAAAACCCCGAAAUGAUUUUUCCCGAAUGAAAGAAGACCAGGGAGCUUUUGGGCCAAGCCAGGUGGGCUCCAGGGAGCCCACAAGCCCCCACUCCACCACCAGGGGGGAGGUGGCGGUGGGCAGGCUUGUGGCCUCCCUGGCCGCCCCUUGACCUAGGUCUUUGGCCUAUAAAUUCCCAAAUAUUCCGCAAAAAAUCAGGGGAGCCUCUAAAAUACUUUUCCAUUGCCGCAAGCUUCCGUUUCCGCGAGAUGUCAUCUGGAGACCCUUCCCGGCACCCUGCUAGAGGGGACUUUGGAGUUGGAGGGCUUCUUCAUCAUCAUCAUCGCCCCUCCAAUGACUCGUGAGUAGUUCACUUCAGACCUAUGGGUCCGUAGUUAGUAGCUAGAUGGCUUCUUCUCUCUCUUGGAUCUUCAAUACAAAGUUUUCCAUGAUCUUCAUGGAGAUCUAUCCGAUGUAAUCAUCUUUGGCGGUGUGUUUGUCGAGAUCCGAUGAAUUGUGGAUUUGUGAUCAGAUUAUCUAUGAUAUAUAUUUGAGUCUUUGCUGAUUUCUUAUAUGCAUGAUUUGAUAUCCUUGUAAGUCUCUUCGAGUCUUGGUUUUUGUUUGCCAACUAGAUCUAUGAUUCUUGGAAUGGGAGAAGUGCUUGGUUUUGGGUUCUACCAUGUGGUGACCUUUCCCAGUGACAUUAGGGGCAGCAAGGCACACAUCAAGUAGUUGCCAUCAAGGGUAAAAAGAUGGGGUUUUCAUCAUUGGUUUGAUAUUAUCCCUCUACAUCAUGUCAUCUUGCUUAAGGCGUUACUCUAUUCUUAUGGACUUAAUACACUAGAUCCAUGCUGGAUAGCGGUCGACGUGUGGAGUAAUAGUAGUAGAUGCAGAAAGUAUCGGUCUACUUGUUUCGGACGUGAUGCCUAUAGAAAUAAACAUUGCAUAGAUAUCGUCACGACUUUGCGUGGUUCUAUCAAUUGCUCGACAGUAAUUUGUUCACCCACCGUCUACUUGCUUUUAUGAGAGAAGCCACUAGUAAACACUACGGCCCCCGGGUCUAUUCACAUCCAUCGUUUACACCUUCGCUUUUACUUUGCUUUGUUACUUUGUUGCUUUCGGUUCUCACUUGGCAAACAAUCUAUAAGGGAUUGACAACCCCUUCAUAGCAUUGGGAGCAAGUUUUUGUGUUUGUGCAGGAUCUCGAGAUACUCCUGCACUGGAUUGAUACCUUGGUUCUCAAAAUGAGAUAAAUACUUACCACCGUUGUGCUACAUCACCCUUUCCGCUUCGAGGGAACACCAACGCAAGGCUCCAAGGCCACGGGGGAAAUCCUUUGCAUACUUGCCUAGGAAGUCCCUUAAGGCGUAGCCGCAGAAGAAGGAUCAAGCCAAGUAUCCUCCCGUCGACGUGCCUAUUGCUGGCGCCAUUGGAAUGUCUUUUGUUGCAGUCACAGAAGUAUUUCUGGCGCCGUUGCAAGGGAAGCACAGUUGAUAUCAUCUUCCUUGUCCAACAUCUACUUCUAAGCAUGUAAUAGUUUAGUGAGUGUUCACAAUCAUAGAUGGUGUCAAGGAUGAUAUAUUUAUAUGUGAACCUCUCCUUCUUUAUCACUUCCCAUUAAUUGCAACAAUGACCAAGGUCUACGUUUGUCUACCCUCAACAAGUUUGAAUCAUCAUCCUUUUUAUAUAUGAAGCCAUCACUUCCCAUAAGAUCACUAUAUGAUCUCUCAUGGUUUUUUUCUUUCUCGAUCUUUUGAUCAUGGCAAGAGGCAAAGCCCUUCAACUAAGAUACUCCUUAUUAUAUGGCUCACGAGCUCGAAUACAUCAGGGGAGACGCAAAGCAAAACUCAAGCCUAAAACACUAAGACAUUUAUUCUACUAGAGAAAGAGAAAACUGAAAAGGAACAAACUAAAACAAAGGUAAAGGCAAAAGAUAUGAUGGUGAUACGAUACCGGGGCAACUCCCCCAAGCUUGGCACAAGCCAAGGGGAUUGCCCAUACCCAUGCUCAGUUGUCUUCCUUUGGAGGUGAUGGUGGUGGAGUUGUUGCAACCUUUGGUUCCAAGAGGGCCAUUAAUCUUUGAUUUAUACCUUGGAGAUCUGUGAUAUGUUUCUCGAGCAAAACAACUUCACGAGUGAGAUAAGUAUUGCGAGCACGAGUUGUUUCACAAAACCUCAAGAGUUCAAUCAAGGAUGGAGACUGUAGGUGGAGGUAGGGUUGGAUGAAAUCCACUUCUUCAACUUCUUCCUUGUUGAGCACAGAUUGCACUUCGUCCCAUGCCUGACUCUUCUCCUUUGUUUUGCCCUUGGUUUCUUUAGGUAGCCUUUCCUUGGCCUCCAUGACUUCCAUCCUUUUCAGAUCAACAUGUACUUCUCCAUAGACUUGAGGGAGAUUGUUCUCCCCUACAGAUUCCUGAGAUGACAUCUUGCUCUAAAUCUGUGGUAGAAAACAAGCUCGAAAUGAAAACAGAGGGAAUUUACGUGAUACAGAGGUCGAACAUUUCGGGAGAAUAUAUAAUGAUUUUUUUCCAGACCAGAGGGAGUACUCCGCACGAAAACGGAGUCCGGGAGGCACACGAGGUGGCCACAAGCCCUCUAGGACCGGCGAGGGGGUAGGUCGGGCCUAGGAGGCUUGUCGCCUCCUCGUGCACUUUCCGGACUGCUUUAAAAUUUUCUAUUUUUUCGAAAAUUCCAAAACGAAGGAAAACUGCUAAGGGAAAAGUUUUGGAGUCGUUUACUUACCGAAUCACAUACCUCCUCGUUUUCAGAGUCUCAAACAGGCUGAUAAAUAUCCCUUAUGUACUCCUCCGGAGUUAUGGUAUUGAUAAUGUUGCUCUCAACAUUUAUGGGAGUACCUGAGAUGUAAUGCUUGAUUCUCUGCCCAUUUACCACUCUCGGACAAUUACCUUCCGUGUUUUUGAUUUUGAUAGCACCGGAACAAUAUACUUCCUCAACAAUAUAGGGACCUUCCCAUUUAGAGAGAAGCUUGCGUGCAAAAAAUCUUAAACGAGAAUUGUAUAGCAAGACAUAAUCACCUACAUUGAACUCACGCUUUUGUAUCCUCUUAUCAUGCCACCUCUUAACUUUUUCUUUGAAUAACUUGGCAUUUUCAUAUGCCUGAGUUCUCCAUUCAUCAAGCGAGCUAAUGUCAAAUAACCUCUUCUCACCAGCAAGUUUGAAAUCAAAGUUGAGCUCUUUGAUUGCCCAAUAGGCUUUAUGCUCUAGCUGAAGAGGUAGAUGACAUGCUUUACCGUACACCAUUUUGUAUGGAGACAUGCCCAUGGGAUUCUUAUAGGCAGUUCUAUAAGCCCACAGUGCAUCAUCGAGCUUCUUAGACCAAUUCUUUCUAGACCUGUUGACAGUCUUUGCAGAAUCAGUUUAAUCUCUCUAUUGCUUAGCUCUACUUGACCACUGGACUGAGGGUGAUAGGGAGACGCAAUUCUAUGGUUGACAUCAUACUUAGCAAGCGUCUUACCGAAAGCACCAUGAAUGAAAUGUGAACCACCAUCGGUCAUUAGAUAUAUAGGGACUCCAAAUCUGGGGAAGAUAACUUCUUUAAGCAUCCUGAUAGAGGUGUUGUGAUCAUCACUACUAGUGGGGAUUGCUUCCACCCACUUAGUGACAUAAUCAACAACAACUAGGAUAUAAGUAUACCCGUUGGAUUUUGGAAAAGGUCCCAUAUAAUCAAAGCCCCAAACAUCAAAUGGUUCAAUGAGAAGUGAAUAGUUCAUAGGCAUUUCCUGACGUUUACCGAUAUUACCUAUUCUUUGACAUUCGUCGCAAGACAAGAGAAACUUACGGGCAUCCUUGAACAGAGUGGGCUGAUACGUCUCCGUCGUAUCUACUUUUCCGAACUCUUUUGCCCUUGUUUUGUACUUUAAUUUGCAUGAUUUGAAUGGAACUAACCCGGACUAACGCUGUUUUCAGCAGAAUUGCCAUGGUGUUGUUUUUGUGCAGAAAUAGAAGUUCUCGGAAUGUCCUGAAAAUUUACGGAGAAUUUUUCUAGAAUUAAUGAAAAAUACCUGUGCAAAGAUCCACCAGAGGGUGUGAACCAGUGGGCCACAAGCCCACUGGCCGCGGCCACCGCCCAGGCCGCACCAACCAGGCUUGUGGAGCCCACAGAGCUGCACCGCCUCCAAACUCAGCUCUAUAUAUUGCGUUUCGCCCGGAAAAAAAUUAGAGAGAAGGAGUCAUCGCGUUUUACGAUACGGAGGCGCGGCCACCUCCUGUUCUUCAUGUGGAGGGCAGAUCUGGAGUCCGUUCUAGGCUCCGGAGAGGGGAAAUCGUCGCCAUCAUCAUCAUCAACCUUCCUCCAUCGACAAUUCCAUGAUGCUAUUCACCGUUCGUGAGUAAUCUCAUCGUAGGCUUGCUGAACGGUGAUGAGUUGGAUGGGAUCUAUCAUGUAAUCGAGUUAGUUUUGACGGGGAUUGAUCCGUGGUAUCCACUAUGUUCUGAGAUUGAUGUUGCUACUACUUUGCCAUGCUUAAUGCUUGUCACUAGGGCCCGAGUGCCAUGAUUUCAGAUCUGAACCUAUUAUGUUGUCGCCAAUAUAUGUGUGUUUUAGAUCCUACCUUGCAAGUUGUAGUCACCUACUAUGUGUUAUGACCCGGCAACCCCGGAGUGACAAUAGCCGGAACCACUCCCGGAGAUGACCAUAGUAUGAGGAGUUCGUGUAUUCACCACGUCUUAAUGCGUUAGUCUGGUUCUUUAUUAAAAGGAGAACCUUAAUAUCCCUUAGUUUCCAUUAGGACCCCGUUGCCACGGGAGGGAUGGACAAUAGAUGUCAUGCAAGUUCUUUUCCCUAAGCACGUAUGACUACAUACGGAAUACAUGCCUACAUUAGAUUGACGAACGGGAGCUAGUUACAUAUCUCUUUGUGUUAUAGCUUUUACAUGAUGAAUCACAUCCGACAUACUCAUCCAUAACCGAUCCAAUGCCUACGAGUCUUUUACUACUGGUCCUUGCUACGUUACUUUGCCGCUACUGCUACCACUGCUGUUACUGUUGCUCUGUUGCUACUGCCGUUACUUGCUGCUGCUGUCACUACUGCUGUUACUUGCUCUACUACUUGCUAUUGCUGUCACUACUGCCGUUCCUUGCUACAGCUGUCACUACUGCUGUUACUUGCUACUUUGUUGUUACUCGCUGCAACACUUUAGUGGCACCAUUUAUACAACAAGUUAGGAAUAGUCUGCCGUCAACAGACCUUUUUCUGGCACCGUUGCUAUCAUACUACUUUGCUACUGAUACUUUGCUUGCAUACACUAAUCUUUGAGGUGUGGUUGAAUUGACAACUCAGCUGCUAAUACUUGAGAAUAUUCUUUUGCUUCCCCUUGUGUCGAAUCAAUAAAUUUGGGUUGAAUACUCUACCCUCGAAAACUGUUGCAAUCCCCUAUACUUGUGGGUCAUGAUGGGCCAAUAGAAACCUGAUUGCAAUACCUUGUGUGCAGUUCUAUCUCCCGCAUGGUGUCCUCCGUAGGCCUCGGGGUGACACUUCUGUAGGAUCUAUCCCUGUUCAUGUUCAGGUACACAACAUCUAAUAACACCAUCUACUCCUUCCUUAUAAAGGUGAGGAUCAUCCCAAAAGUAAUGUCUCAAGUCAAAGAAGAAUUUCUUCUUUUGCUGGUACGUGAAAGUAGGUGGUAUAUAUUUGGCAACAAUAUAGUUUGUAUAAUCAGCAUACCACGGUGCACUACGUGAAGCAUUGAUGACAUUCAAUUGCUCACUGUGAAAGCUAUCAUCAAUAGGUUGUGGGUCAUCAAGAACGUUCUCCAACCUAGACAAGUUAUCUGCUACGGGGUUAUCAGCACCCUUCUUGUCGACAACAUGCAAAUCAAACUCUUGUAGCAAGAGAACCCAUCUGAUAAGUCUAGGUUUAGCGUCCUUCUUCUCCAUGAGGUACUUAAUAGCAGCAUGAUCAGUGUGAAUAGUGACUUUGGAAUGAACUAUGUAAGACCUGAACUUUUCACAUGCAAACACGACUGCUAAAAAUUCAUUUUCCGUAGUAGCAUAGUUUCUUUGGGCACUGUCUAGAAUUUUACUAGCAUAGUGAAUAACGUUCAACUUCUUAUCAACUCUUUGCCCUAGGACAACACCAACAACAUAAUCACUAGCAUCACACAUAAUUUCAAAAGGUAAGUUCCAAUCAGGUGGUUGAACAAUAGGUGCAGUUAUCAAAGCCCUCUUAAGUAUUUCGAAGGCUUCCUCACAAUCAUCGUCAAAAACAAAAGGAAUAUCCUUUUGCAAGAGAUUGGUAAGAGGCCUAGAAAUCUUAGAGAAGUCUUUAAUGAACCUUCUAUAGAAACCAGCAUGACCAAGGAAACUUCUUAUACCUUUGAUAUCUGUGGGGUAUGGCAUUUUCUCCAUUGCAUCAACCUUGGCCUUAUCGACUUCAAUACCUUUUUCAAAAAAA